AACUAAAAUACUUCUAAAAGUACUGAGUCAUUUUGGUACUUCCACAUCAUUUAUGAUGAUAAAUUAUACAAAGGGAAAACUUCAAAAACCCCCUUGUAGUUUUGUAGUUUCUCACUUCCCCGCCCUGUGGUUUCUUCUUUCUCUUUUUCUUAUUAAUUUUAUUAUUUUUUUUUCUUAAAUCAAUGAUAAAGUUAAAAUUAAAUGGUACUAAAGUGAAUAUUUGAUAAAUCUAGAUGGGUAUCUGAAGUUUUUGUAUAUAAUUUAAUGAAAUAUUAACGAAAAAGCUACCGAAAAGAUAAAAACGAAACCACGGGGAGGCAAUUUGAUAUAUUUUAAACCACAGAGAGGCAAAGUGAGAAACUACGAAACCGCAGGAGGGGUUUCUGAAGUUUUUUCCCUUAUACAAAUCGAUUAUUAACACCGCUAAAUAUCAUCUGCGGCAUGUGAACUUCGUAGGAGCUAAAUUUUAUGACUUUCUAAUGUUAUUCAUCUGGUAUUCAAGUUGUCUUAAACACGUCUUAUAUUUACAAUCAAAAAUUAUUAAUUUAAAAUAAUUAGUAUAUAAUAUUAAGAAAAAUAUAAAAUUUUGUUUUUAAGAAAGUUCACAUGCUCCCGUGUUUAAUAGGUAAACCAUCAAUUUAGAAUGACUCUUCAUAAAAAACAACACGAAUAUUUUUUAGAUCUUGAUAUUUAUUUCUUUCCUCCCAAAGAAAAUUAAAAAAAAAAAAAAAAAAGAAGGAGAAUUGGAAGAGUUAUUUGGCAAAUGGUAUGUUGGGGACAAUAAAUAAUUUCUAGGCCCAUAAAUUGUUUUGGUCAAAGAAUUGGAUUGCACCAAAAGUAGUUGGCUCUCUCUUUAAUGAUGGACCCCCUCAUACAAAAAUCAAAAAAAAAAAAAAAAAAAGGAAAAAAAAAAUUUGAGGACCCCAUUAAAAAUUUAUUUUUCAUAUUUUAUAAAAACUAAUAUUUUUAUUUUACUUAACAAAAUUCGAAAACGAAAACACUACUCUUCCAUGAAAUCUGAAAAAAUGCUUUCCCAAAAAUCCGAUUUUUUAAACCAAACGACGAAAACUUUUCUCGGGAACCAAACAGUCUCUUAAUUUUUUUAAAAAAAUUGAUUUUUUUAAUUAAUCAUUAAAAUUAUUUGAUUUGAGUCAGUUAAUAUGUUUUUACUUUAGAAUUUGAAUAUAUCGUUUAUCUUUACAAAUUUAAUUAGUGUAUUUUAUUUAAUUCAUGCAACUAUAAAUUUAUUAAUAUAAGUAAUUGAUUUAAAUUUUGUAUGGAAAGAGCCAUCAACUGACUUAAAUCAAAUAAAUUAGAAGGUUAGAUAUUAAAAUCAAAAUUUUCAAGAUUGGAUAAUCAAAUCAAAAUAAUCUGUAGUUCAGAUAAAUUCUAUGCAUUUUUUACCAAAAAAAAAAAAAUUGUAAAACAUUACAAUAAUUAAUUACAAAUCACCAUCCAAACUUUGAAAUAUUUAAAAGUGAAACGGUUCAAAUAAUGAUAGAAUUAUUCAUAUAUAUUAAAGCGGAGAGGCAUUUAAGCAAUUUAACUUUUGUACUACUAAAAAUUGCCAUAAAAAAUAAAUUAAACUCUGUAGUAGAUUGUAAGAUUGAAGUAAUUAGAAAGUUUAUAUAGUUUAUUUUAAUCUUAAUAAAUGUUUAUGGAAUCAGUUUAGAAAGCGGUAUUUUUGUAAUUUUUUUUUCUAGGAGAAAUAAAAAAAAAAAUACUAUACGUUCUUUUCAUUUUUUUUUUUUAGAACUGUGCUUGUUAAAUAUAAAAAUAUUUAAACACCGUUUUUUACUAGCUUAAGCUUUUUAGAGAAUAAAGAUUGUUUCGUAAUAUUUAACAUGUUAUCGGAGCAGAAGGUCUUAAGAUCAAGUCACGCCAGGCUCCUAACAUUCCAGACAUGAGGAGAGCGCUAAAUAUAAAAAUAUUUAAAAUACCGUUCUCUAUUAUCUUAAGUUAUUUGGCAACUCUUAUUAAGCGAAGUUUUAGGCGUCGUUGCUAUUUUUUUAUUUUAAGCUCUAAUUUUAUAUAAUUUGAUAUACAGGUGACAAAGUUAUUCUUUUAUUGUUGCAAUUAAUUAGCUUGUUAUAUACCCUAACAACAUCCUGAUAACAAAUUAUAUUAAAAAAGCAAUAAAAAUAUUUUUAUAGAGGAAAUUAUGGUAAAAUUGCACGUUCGGUCCUCAAACUAUGAGACAGCUGACACUUUGAUCCUCAAAUAUCAAUUUGUUGUAAUUCGAACUUUCUGAAUUAUUACAAUCAAGUCCUAUAACACAAUUUAGUUAAUUAAAUAUUGAUGCAUAGUUAAUAUAGAAGCUAUAGAGUUUUAUGAUGUCUUAAUACAUCAAAUAUUCAUAAUAUUUAGUCAACUUACUUGUACAAUUUUUUAAAGUUUUAAGUCAAAAAAAAAUGUAGUAACUUAAAAUUUGAGCACCAAAUUGUUAUAACUCUCAUAGUUUUAGGACCAAACGUGCAAUUUAGCCAAUAAAUUAGAAUUUAAUUUAAAUUUUUUUUAAUUUUUAAAAAAUAAUUAUCGUUGGAAAACACAAAACACGUUCCCCUCCCAACUCGCCGCCCCACCCGGACCACGCCGUGUACCACCCAACCCCCUCCCUGAUCGUGACACGUGGGGCGAUCACGAGCGUCGCUUCCGCGAGUCCACCACAGGGAUCCGGUGUACCGUCACCGUAGAUUCCUCCGCUACCCCCCCACCGCACACGCACCCAUCCCCCCCACCACCGCCGAAUCGAAAUUACCAUUUUACCCCCGCCCGUCGAUCUAAAACAAGAAACGGAUCGUCACCGCAUCCGUGUCCUCAUCUCACGAAAAUUUUUAAUGGACGAAAUUGCCCUUACAUGUAUUAGUUAAUUACAAAAUACCCCUCGCAGUUUUUUGAAUAGAAUAAAAAUCAAUUACCACAUAUGUGGUUUCGCACUUUUUUUAUUUUAGUACCGUAUAAUUUAAAAUAUAUCAAUUAAGUCCCCUGGUUUUAUUUUUCUUUUUUUAUUAUUUCUUUCACUAUUUUUUCGUUAAAUUAAUGACAAAGUUAAAAUUAAAAGACAUUAAAGUGAAUAUUAGAUAAAUCUAAGUGAGAUAUCUGAAGUUUUUUGUAUAGAAUUUAACGAAAUAUUAACGGAUGAGCUCAUAAAAGAAAAAAAAUAAAUAAAACCACAGGUUACUAAAUUAAUACACUUUAAAUCACAGAGUAUUAAAGUGAAAAAAUGCGAAAUUGUAGGGUGGUAUUUGAAGUUUUCUGGUUCGAAUAUUGGUAUUGGGCCCACCACUAUAUGGACCGUCUCGUCGCUAUCCGACGGUCGCUAUUCACCUAAACAUUGUAAUCGUAAAUUUUGUGUAAUUAUAUUUUUGGUCUCAUACUAAUUUAAUUAGUCUCUAAAUUUUUAUUUAUAUAUUAUUUUUGUUCGUAAAACUUAAAAAAUUAUUUCUCAUGUGAGGCGCGUACUUAAUAAAAAAAAAAAUUUAGUAAACAGUUAUUUAUUUUAAAUUUAUUUUCCAUUUUAGGAAAACUUUGUGCUUGGGCAAAUGAUUUUUUUUUGAAAAAAAGCAAAAUAUACUUUGCUUUUGCGUGCCACGUUGCAUUUGUUUUUAUCUUUUUUUUAAAAAAAAAAAAAUUCCUCUUGUGCUUUAGUCACAUCUCAACUACUUUUCCACAAUAAAAAGAAAUUGCAAGUAAAUUUUAAUCCUGUAUUUUUACAAUUUUAUCAAUAAAGUUUAAUACUUUGAAAUAAUCAUUAAAUUUAGAUGCAAAAUAUUAUCUAAAGUAAUUUGGCACAUAUGUUCUACUUAUAUUUAAAUCUCUAAAUAUAAUUUAUUUGCAUUUUUUCCUAAGAAAAGAAAUAAAAAUACNUUUAUAAAAGUAAAUAAAAUAGAUUACUUGCUACAUAUCUCUAAAUAUAAUUUAUUUGCAUUUUUUCCUAAGAAAAGAAAUAAAAAUACGCCAUAAACUGGAGAAAAAUGCAAAUUUAUCCUGCUGUAAUGUAACAUUUUUUUUUGUGUCGCCCUAGUGCUUAAAAUGCUUUUUUUUUUUUUUAGAGAUAUGUAGCAAGUAAUCUAUUUUAUUUACUUUUAUAAAUAAACUCCGUUAGAAACUGUAAAGUAAUUAUAUUUCAAAUUUGAAAUCUUAUGUAUCAAUCAUUAAGUUCUUAGCGUUAGAUACGAUCGGUCAGUGAUUCAAAAUGUUAUAUUUCACUAUAUUGUAAUUCAAAAAAAUUAUACUCCACUAUUAAAAAAUAUAUAUAUACUAUAAAAAUCUAUUUUAAAACAUGCUAUUAUUUUUUAACUUCUAAAAAUUUAUUUUACUGUCCUAUUUAAUAAUAAUUUUUAUAAUAUAAAAAACUAAAAUUAUAAAAUAUUUAAGAGCAAAAAAAUACGUUAAAACACGUGGCGGCGGCGAAUAAGGGCAAAUGUGAAAUGCCCCUGGGCUUUUUUUCUCUUUUUUUCUUUGUCCCUUUUUUAAAGUUCUCCCCUAUGUCGCUGCGAAAUUACAUGUACCUAUUGGCAAGGGCAAUUUGGUCUUUUCACAUCAAAUGGAUGGCAAUCUCGUUAUUUUUAGGAACUGUAGGGGCAUUUUUUUUAAUGUGUAUAUAUAUAUAUAUAAAUAUAUAUAUCCCACACUUCCAUCUCCCUAGAAUUGUUUCCCCCAUAUCCCAAACUUUCUCUCUCUUCUCUCUUUCUCUUUCUCUUUCUCUUUCUCUCUCUAAAACUGCAUCUCGGAAAAGCGCUUUUUCCGCUUCUCUGCGAGCUCCGGCAUUAGCUUCUCCUCCCCCUCCCAGCUUUUACCAUUUUUACCCCUCGAUCUCUCGCACCUCUACGCAGCUACCCGCGGCCUCGGCCGAGGGCACAUCGGUCAUUUGGCAGGUCCGCUGGUGCGGGGGGCCCACCAUGUCGAGCUACACGAGGCGCGAGGGGACACUUGGCGCGUGGCGGAAGCGCAAGGAGCAGCGCGAGCCGUGCGACCCGCCUCGGACCAAGCCGGUCGCUGCGGACGCCGAACCGGGUGCGGGUUCGGGUUCGGGUUCGGACCGUAACAACAAGGUGUUGGCGGGUUACCUGGCGCACGAGUUCCUCACGCGGGGGACGCUCUUCGGGAAGCGGUUCGAGCCGGGGAAGAAGGACCCGAACCCAAACCCGAACCCGGUACGGCCCGGGUCGGGCGAACCGCCGAGGGCGUAUGCGGAGGUGUCGUAUAUUUUGCGUGCGGAUGGUGGGGCCCACGUCGCGGGCGUGGUGAACCCGACGCAGCUGGCGCGGUGGAUUCGGAUAGGGGGUGAGGAUAACGCCGCGAAGCGCCAGAACAAGUAGGCUGCUGACACGUGGAAGGGCCCCCAUUGGGUGGAGUUGAGAGCCUCGAUUUUUUUUUUUUUGAUUUACUGUACCUUGGGGUUUUUUUUUUCCGCAAUUGACUUCUUAGAAAAAAUUAAUUUUAAAAAUAGUUUCAGUAAAUUUAUAUUUACAAAAAUGGCUUCGUCCCGGCCAAACAAGUGCUACGUCAGCACCAUGUAGGAGGGACUGAAAUCAAAUGGUUAAAUUGAACACGCUAAAUCAUUCACCAUGUCUGAACACGAUAUCUAAACACGAUAAAUGGUUCACCGUAUUUAAAGCUGACGUGACGCUUGCGUGACAGGAUCAGUACUAUUUUUGUAAAUAUAAAUUUGUUGGACUACUUUUAAAAUUAAUUUUUUUCAGCGUACCAAUUGCAAAAAAACCCCCUGUAACUUUUAUUGUUUUGGAGUAGCGAAAACUUAAUUUUAUGCUUGUUUAUUUCAGAAUUGGAGUUAGAAUAAGAAUUAGGAACGGAGUAGUUCAUGCAUUGCAGUAACCUAAGAGGGUGUUUGAUUUUUUAAAAAAUAGUUAAAAACAUAGUUUUGUGACAAAACAUAUUUUUCGUUUAUUUGAUUUCUACAAAAAGAAUAAUUUUUUAGAUAAUAUUUUUCAAAUUUGAUGAAAAUAUAGUAUGUUCCUUUUUUAUAUUUUUAAUCCAAAAAAACAAAAACAGUGAAAAAAAGACUAUUUUUCACAAAAAUAUUUUUUGAAAAAUAAAUUUUCACACUUUUUCGAAAAAUAGAAUAUCAUCCUAACCAUACAAUCAAUAAUUUAAGGAACAAAAUGUCGAAACAUGAACUCCUAAUAGUUUUGAAAGCAUAGUAGUUUUACACCGAAAAAAUUAUAUAUCUUUGUUAAUUUUAGUUACCUGUAAUUUUAGCUUAAUUUUUAGGGUGUGUAAGAAGCCUCCUUUCUUCGAUAAUUUUAAUGAUGGGCUUAAUUUCCGCCAUUCGAUAUUUUAUAUGGCAAAUCCGCGCACUUGAUUGAAAAAAUUAAUAUCAAAUUAUAAAAAAUAUUAAAUAUUAUUUCUGUGGUUUUAUAUUUUCUCAUUUUAGUAUCUUGUAGUUUAAAGUAUCUCAAUUUAGUGUCAUGUGGUUUUAUUUUUAUCUUUCUAUUAUCGAUUUCACUAAUUUUUUCUGUUAAAUUAGUGACAAAGUUAAAAUUAAAGAAUACUAAAGUGAAUAUUCGAUAAACUUAGGUAGAGUAUCUGAAGUUUUUUGGAUAUAAUUUAAUGAAAUAUUAACGGAGAAACUAACGAAAAAAUAAAAUGAAAUCAUAAGACACUAACUUGAUAUACUUUAAAGCAUAGGAUACUAAAGUGAGAAAGUAUGAAACCACAAGAGUGGUAUCUGAAGUUUACCCUUAAAUUAGGUUUUUUAUCUAUAUUUUUCAUAAUAAAGAGAAAAAAGGUUAUUUUACAUGGCACAUAAAACACAUGGUUCAAACUUAAAAUCAAAGUCCACUUAUGAAACUUUUGAAAGUCUCAUGUUUAGAUAUGCGUGAGCUUUGGGUGUAGAAUGUUUAAACGUUGUCCUCCAGAACUUGAUCUUUUGAAAAUAAUCAGUUACUUUCACUGGGGGACCGUUUGGUUAGAUAUAAUUAUAAAUACAGCAGUUACAACUACAUGCAUCCUGUUUGGAUGGAUGUAAUAGAAAGCGCUGCAAAUAUAAAUAAUUUGUUUGGUUGCAUGCAAUUGAAAAAUAAUUUUGAAAAUUUUAUCAUUUUAUAUAUAUAUGGUGAUGGGAUUACUUUCCAUGUAAAAAAGAAAAAUAAUUUUUGUUUAAAAUAUAAUUGAGCAGGUAAAGUAUACAUUUUAUUUAAAGUUAUUCUCUUCAACUAUUGCAGUUGGGCUCCUAUUGUAGCAGUUGGAGUUAAAUACACCAAAUAAAACACCGAAUUUGCAUUUGCGUGCAGUUACAACUGCAGUGCAGUUGCAACUACAUGCAACCAAACGGCAUCUAAGUGUUUUUAAAAAAGUUAAAUUUUGUUGUUUUUAGCUCAAAUUUUUAAAAUUGUAGUUGACUAAAUAUUGAUAAAAUUAAUAUAAAAAUAAUAUCACAUUUUAAAUAUUGUCAUAUCAUCAAUUAUAUUACUUUCAUAUCAUUUCUAUAUCAUCAAUUUGUCAAUAUAUAUUUAGCCAGGUAACAUUGAUUGUGAAUUUUGACCGCAAUAAUUUAUAAAUUUUGAAUUAAAAAUUAUAAUAAAUUAAAAUUUGAAAAACAAAGUGUCACGAGCCCUAUAGUUUGAGGACCAAAAGUGUGAUUUAGCCUCUCUUUNUUCCUCUCAUGCACAUGUUUUAAAGAGCUGUUUCUGAAUAGAAAUGAGAUUGAAGGUGCCAACCUGGGGAGAGAAAAAAAACUCUCUUUUAAUUAGGUUCUAUUUGAAUAAUAGGAUAUUGCACAUGUUUUAUAAUAUAAGCUAAGUUACAAAACUCUUUCUUUGUACUUUGUCCUGUGAUUAAAUUAACCUCUUGAACAAAAUUUUGUUUCGAUUUUGAACUCUGCACUUUAUUUUGUUUUCAAAUAGGAUGAGACAUUUGGGAUGAUCAAUAAAUUCGAAGGCGAAUUUUUGCACAAAUUAUUUGACGUAUUGCGUUAGUUUUAUAAUCGAAUUAUAUGACAUAUUUAAACUUAAAUAAAAGAGAAUUUUCUUAGCUAUACCUAUCAAAAUUGGUUGUUUAUAGAACAAUUUAUUCAAGUUAUGGGACUAUGUUCAGUUCAAUAGAACAAUGGUUAUUUGUCAACUCAUUUUCAUAAAGUUUUGCGCAAUUUGAUCAAUCAGUAAAGGUUUUCAUAUUAAAGCAAAAUAUUUUUUUUUGAGAGAAAAAAAUUAAAGCAAAAUGUUAUGCAAAAACGUAAUUGAGACCAGAGGCAACUGCAAGUCCUUCAUAAAUUUUUAUUUUUUGAAAAACUGAACGCAGCUACAAAUGUAAACUCUCUAAGGGGUCGUUUGGCUGCACGUAGUUAUAACUGCAUUACAGUUGUAACUACAUGCAAAUACAAAUUCAGUGUUUGAUUUGAUAUAUUUAACUCCAACUACUGCGGUAGGAAUUGCAGGAGGAGGCCCAACUGCAAUAGUUCGAACUACGCCCAAAUUUACCGCAAUUCUAACUGCAACAGUUGGAGAGAGUAACUUUAAAUAAAAGGUAUGUUUACCUGCUCAAUUAUUUUUUAAACAAAAAAUAUUUUUCUUUUUUACAUUGAAGGUAAUCUCACCUCAUAUAUAUAAAAUGAUAAAAUUUUAAAAAUUAUUUUUUAACUACAUGCAACUAAAUAAAUUAUUUAUACUUACAGCAUUUUCUACUAUAUCCAACCAAAUAAAAUGCAUAUAGUUGUAACUACUAUAUUUUUAACUAUAUGCAUACCUAACUACACUGCAUUUAUAAUGACAUCUAACAAAACGACUCUAAAUUGUUAACAAGUUGGUAUUGGGAACUAUUAAAUCAAUCUAAAGCGGUCAAAGGAGCUACAUAUAUAUAUUUCAACACAUAGAACCACAUAAUUUUCAGGAAUAAAGUAGAACAUAUAUAUGUAUAUACAGAGAGAAAGAGAGUUCGGCUGGGAUGCUAUCGAUAGCACCAAACACUUAGUUCUACCGAAUUUUCCGUCAUUAGAUUUAACCCUUUAACUACUUUCACCCGUUAAAUUAUAUUAUUUAAUCAACAACUAAUUCAACCCUAGAAGAUCCAUAUCAUUCUAAUUGUAUAUUUUUUAAUUCAAUGGCCGAAAAUUUAAUAGCACCAGCAACUUAUUGAUAGCAUUGCACCCUAGUUCUUUCUCUCUCUAUAUAUAUAAAGUUUUUAUUUCUAAAUUAAAAUAAAUUGUCCUUUCUUUUGUCACAGAAACUUUCGUAUGAAAUAUUUUUCACAAGCUUAGGGAUUUGAUGAUGAUGAUGAUGAUGAUGAUAAUAACGAAGAUGAUGAUGAAUGAAUUAGCGUGCAGCAACUCAGUUCACUGAAUAACUCUUUAUAUAUAUAUAUAUAUAUAUAUAUAUAUAUAUAUAGAGUUGGACUGGGCUACUAUUAGUAGUAAAAUAUCAUUAUUGCUACCAGUUUUUUAGCCUUUGGAUCAACUCUUUUCAUUAUUUCUAACUAUUGGAUUAAAUACUAUAACCCAGUGAGGACCACUCAACCCUAGAGGGACCACUCAACUCUAACCGACUAAUAUCAUCUUGACCUUAUAAUUUUUCAUUCAAGGGUUAAAAACUUGAUAGUAAAAAGAACGUUUUACUAUUAAUUGUAUUCCAGCCUAAUUCUAUAUAUAUAUAUAUAUAUAUAUAUAUAUAUAUAUAUAGAGAGAGAGAGAGAGAGAGAGAGAGAGAGAGAGAGAGAAUUAUGCUACUAUGCUAUCAAUAGUACCAAGCCCUUGGUACUAUUGAGUUUUCGACCGUUGGAUGAAUAGAAAAAUAGGAGCGAGAUAUAAGAUGAUAGUGGUCCUGAUUAAAUUGAUAGUGUUCCCUUAGGGUUGAGUGGGUGGUUUGGUUAAUAGUAUAAUCUAACGGGUAGAAAUGAUUAAAGAAUAGAUCGAACGGUAGAAAAUCAAUAGUAUCAAGGGCUUGGUAUUAUCGAUAGUAUAGUAGCCGGACUCUCUCUCUCUUCUCUCUCUAUACCCUUUGUUCAUUUCUAUCCAUUAGAUCUAUACUAUUAAACCAACCACCCACUCAAUCUAGAGGCCACUAGCAAUUUAACCGGGACCGCUAUCAUCCUAACCGCACAUCUAUUCAUCCAACGGCCGAAAACUCAAUAGUAAAAGAGGCUUGUAUUGUGAUAAUGUAGCCUAAUUUAUUAUAUAUAUAUAUAUAUAUAAUAUAUAUAUAUAUAUAUAAAAAAAAAAAUUGAGUUCCUGUGCUUUUAAAAGUAUCAAGUUUAUAAUGCUUGUAGAUUUUGGCCAUUGGACUAAGGGAUGUGCGAUUAGAAUGAUGUGGGACCAUUAGGGUGAGUGGGUGGUUAGUUUGUAGAAUACUAUAAUUUAAUGGGUAAAAAUGAUCAAAAGAAAAUACUAAUAAAUGUACUAAUAUGCUAUUGAUUGGAUGGUUCACUAUGUCCAAAAGGGAAAGGGAAAUGCUAAAGUGGAUCUAAUUGAAACUUUAGUUCAUGAUGGUCAUGAACUCAUGAUGAAAACCUCCUUUUCAUUAAUGUUUUUUUCCCGCUUUUGCACUCUGGAUGAGAAAAGAGGGGGAAAAAAAAAAAAAUAGGAGAGAAUAAAAUUUUCUCUUAUUUGUAUCGCAACUUGCUCAAAAAAAAAAAAAAAAAAUUCAUAACAAUCGAUUUUUUUUUUCUUUUCUCUUCUUUUCUCUCUAUUUAUAUGCAUAAAGAGGAAAUGUCUGAGCUGUACUGCCUAUUCUCUCGACGUGUGUUUUGUACCUAGUUUUGCUUUCCAAUUUUCUCUUAUUUAUUUUUUCUCUCGGAGGCCCUGGCUACCUCACUUUAUGUAGCUAAAUUCAUCUUCUUAUUGAAUGAAGCAGGUAGCGUGUUAUCUAUUUCUCAAAAAAGCAAAUACACAAAGUAAAGGCACAAGCUGGAAUGAACCAUAACAUCAUGGACGACGAUCGACUACGUACGUAAUUAGCAAUCCCUGAUGUAAAUAUAUUUGCAAAUCAAUCAAAUCAAUAUUUCGCAUUCUCUAUAUUUCUCCAUUUUGUUGGAGAUACAUUAUAUAUGUAAUAGCCAUCUUAAUUAUUGUCUACUAAAAGAAAUAACUUUGGUUCGUAUAAAUUUUAUAUUCUUUAAUCCUUUAUAGAUAAAAGAGCUAUCAAUUAAUAAAUUCGAGAAUAAUUUGUACUAUUUUCAUCAAUUCCACAACAGCGACACAUGCCGUCCCAGCACGGUCCAAUUAACCGGACCAACCGGCCCAUAUGAUCCAUCGUUGGCGAUUAUGGCCCAAUAAAUUCCGCCCGCCCCAACUAACCGUUAGCGGGUCGGGUUCUAAGGAAUUAAAUUUAUUACUAUUCGAAUUUGAUAUGUGAGAAUAACUAGUCAUAUAGACGAAACAACAGUUGCAACUAAAACCGCAACUGAGCAUUGAUAUGUGCUUGUGGAUACAAACUUACAGAAUAAGCUUUUAGGCUGAAUCGAUCUAAUAGAAAACGAGUUCAGAAAUAUACACGAACAUGUUAAAGGUGGGGGAUAAAAUCUAAGACCGCAGAAAGAAGGAAUUUGAAAUUGGCUUUGAUAUCAUGUUAUCCAAAAUAUCGAUUUAGUAGAAAACAGGCUCAGAAAUAUAGUAAUAACCGCUAGCUAGUAGUUUAUUCGGUGGUUAAUUAAUCUUGAGUGCUUAAAUUCGGGACUCGAGUCAUGGGCUUCGAACUUAGUAUAUAUACAUAUAUAUAGAUUCGUAAAAGAGUUUCUGAAAUAUGAAAUUUAGAGACAAUGUCAUUCAAAAAAGAAAAAAGAAAAGGAAAUCCUAAGAUGAAAGUAAUUAAGCAACAGCUAACAGGUGCCAUCUCAAGAACAAAAGUAGGCAACAAAUCCUCCACAGCACAAGCGGAAGCAUUCGUAAACUUACUAAAAAAAAGCACUUUUUAAUUGGGACCUUAAUUUUACACCAUGAAUGUACACACCAUGAAUAUACAACCAACCAAAGCGCAAUAUUUAUACUCCAUAUAUAUAUAUAUAUAUAUAUAUAUAUAUAUACUCUCGACAUAGAUGAGAGAGAUAACUCUUUAGAGAGAGAGAGAGAGAGAGAGAGAGAUAACUCUUUAGAGAGAGAGAGAGAGAGAUAACUCUUUAGAGAGAGAGAGAGAGAGAGAGAGAGAGAGAGAGAGAUAACUCUUUAGAGAGAUCUAGAGAGAGAGAGAGAGAAAUGGCUUUUGGGAGAAGGGAUUUGAUGGUGGUGCUGUGCUCGGUGCUUGUGAUUUUGGCUCCCACGCGAACCCACGGGCUCUGUUGGCCCGAGUGCAUGCGCGAGUGCGACGAUUUUAAGAUCGUUUGUGGGACCGCGUGCGUUAUCGCAUGCAUGGGAAAAUCACGUACGUGUGUGUGUGUCUGUUAUAUAUAUGUUUUCUCUCUGAUCUAUUUUUAUCAAACUUUACAUCAUUUUUUUAUAAAUUAUGUAAUUAUUCAGUAUUAUAUUUUGAUCAUGUUUGAAUGAAUGAACAUAUAUAUUAUUAUGCUGUCAUGUAAAAAUUCUUAGUAGUAUUCAGAAUUGAAUACCAUAUUUUAUUUUCAAAUCACUCUUUUCAUAAUAGAAUAAUCUUUUUCGUAGAUACAAUAUGUUAUUCUAUCAAAUCAUGAAUGACAGAAUCUGUUAGUGAACAAACUUUGGCUGAAAGCCUCAUAAGAUUUACGCUCAUUUUUUAAGUGUGCAAAUAGUAGUACUGUCCUGUCUUUAUACAGAAUAAGAUAUCAUUUUCUUCUUAUAAUUAUAUAUAUAUAGUAAUUGGUUUAGUCGUAAUGAUCGUUAAUAAUUGUACAGCCUUCUACAACCACUAUCAUGAGCCGGAACUAAUCACGGUGCCGGGGCCGGCGGCAGCCCCGAGCCCCGCCCACCGUGCGCUGCUCAAGAUGAGGGAGUCGCCGCCGGGCUUCGCCGGCAACGGCAACAGCAACAGCAACAGCAACAACAAGAGCAAGGAGGAGGAGGAGACCACCACCACCUCAUCCUCCUCUCUCUUCUCUCCGUUUCCUUAAACAUAAAUUUGAUCAUUAUUAUGCUUAAUUAAUUAGAUUAUAGCGAUUUUGUCUCUCUCUCUCUCUUUGCUGGUUUAAUUUCUCACUGAAAUGAAAAUUCAGUGUGUUCAGUUUCUCUCCUCAUUUUCUCCAAGGUCAUGAUUUUGUUCCCCCUAAUUACGUUUUGUGGCCUCUUCUUUUGUGUUUUCGCUCUUGCAUAAUAUUGCGGAAAGAGCAUUAAUUGUUUGGUUUACAACCUAAUUAAAAUGGAUUAAUUGUAAAAUCUUUUAUUAGUGAAUGGUGAGAUUUCGAGUUUAGCAAUGUCGGCGCCUGGUACUUCAAUCUACGAACUAUUUACAUGAUCUAUUAGGAAAAUGUUAAAUCAUAUUUUAAAGAGUUUUGUGGAUAAUAUAUAGAUUCUCUGCAGAUCGAGUGCGCACGCAUAAUAAUUAUUACUCUGCAUUAUGAGCAUUACCUAUUCUGAGAGUGCAUGGUUAACGUACUCUCCUUGCAUGAAGUUCCUCAAAUAUUAUCUCCUCCCAACGAAUUACUCUGGAUACGCAUCUCAUCUCCUUCGUUUGUCUUUUAAAUUAGGGAUAAUUGUAUAUAUACCUCUCAUACGUUUGAAAAUAUCUAAUUUAUUCCUAUUUUUUCUUUCUAAAAUAUCUCUUAUAUGUUUUACUGUUAUUGCAAAAUAUCUCCACAGUUAUCUUCUGUUCAAUUAAUUUGGGUUAAACGUGAGUUAAAUAUCUACCACAGUUAAAAAAAAUUAAAAUACUAAUUUUGCCCUUAAUUUAAAGACAAAUAAGAAAUGUUGGUGACGGUAUAAGUGUCUAUUUGAAAAGACCAAAAGUCAAAAUACUUCUUGUACCCCUGACUUUAAGGGCAAAUAAGAAAAAUCGGUGAUAGUAGAAGGGUAUAUUUGAAAUGGCAAAAUAAUAUUCCACGGAGAUAACAGAGUUCAUUAAUAGAUUUUAACUCUAAGGGUAUAUUUAAAAUAGGUUGGAACGUAACAAAAGUAUUUUCAAUAUUAGCCUUCUAAGAUGGAUAAAUCAGAAACUUGAAAAUUUUUCAAAAAUAUAUAAGCAAUUGCCCCUCUAAAUUAUCAUCAAAAAUAAUUCCCCAGUAUGGUCCUAGAACAGUUGCAGAGUACAUGAAUUUAUAGGAACCAAAAUUUUGACUUUUAACUGCUAUAUUUUCCGACAAUGAAAGGGACGGGAGCUAAUUCGCUCUUAUAUAUCUUGAUCAGAUACUAGAAUAUCAACCAACUGUACUAAAUAAUGGCGACAGUGCCGCCCGGUAUUUGUCAAUGAUUUAGAACAGAUUUUGGAAAAAUGCUUUUGUUGCAUAGAUCAACAUCAACAAGCCAAAUUUUCACAAACAUGUCGUUCAAUUGUUUUUUUUUUUUUUUUUUUUUGAAAGAUAGGUAGCGCACGCUAUCCGCUUCGUUUAUUUUAUUUGAAAAUAAACUUAACUGAAAAUAUAAAUCAACUAGGAUUCGAACUUGAGUCUCGAAUAUCAAUCAUCAAACCUUUUGCCACUUGCUCUAGAAACGGUUGGUAUGUCGUUCAAUUGUUAAUUGUACAUUUUUUAUGAGGGAAAAAAAAAAAAAAAAGCGGCAAAACAGAAAAAAACUAUUGUGGAAAACUUAGAUCUGUGGAGAAGCUUUAAACAUGAUGAGAGGAAUCAACUAUGAACCCAUGUCAAAUUUUCCAAAAAAAAAAUGGAGAACUUAUGCAUAAUAGUAAUAAAAGAGUUCCACGCAAAAUAAUAGUGUACCGGCAUAAUUCCAUCGAACUAGGAUUUUGCAAACCAUAUUCGUUUUUGUUACUAGCAAUGACAAACUCAAGAAACCAAGUAAAAAAACGAUGUUAGAUAUGCAUGUAAUUUAUUAUGGACUAAAAAGGCAGCAUCUGCAGCGAGAGCACAAGCAAAAAACAAAAGCCUAUAAGCGCCACUAUCAUCCAAUUAUUGGUUCGCUAAAUCGGUAUCAUUCUACACAAACUGCGAAAAUAAUCUCUCGUAUACAUCAGCACGAAUGUAGUUAAGAAAAGAAAUUUAAUAGGAGAAGGUUCAAUUGAACAUUACUCUUCCCCACUUUCCUAUAUGAUAUAUGACUCGCGCACUCCCACACUACGCUGCGACUGCCGUAGUUAGAAAUUUGAAAACCUUCACCCUUGAGCAUCUAAACAUUUGCUUGACUUGCACGGCAAACUUAUACCAAGCUUCCUGUUCUGCUGCCACCAGAAAAAUGCAAAGUAUGCAGAAAUCGACCGCGAUUUCACCACCUAUUUUUCCUCUGUUUUUUUUCGAUGUUUUUAUGAGCUCGCAACAAGAGGAAGAAGAGGUUCGGCAUUUACUAUUUAUUUCCAGAUCUUCACCAAUCUGUCAUGGCUUGCAGAAGCGACGAACCCAGUGAAGGGUGAUUGUGCCAAAGCAGCAAUUAAGCCUUCGUGAGCCUGGAUCGACAUUCUAUGGUUCUCUCCAAUGUUCCAUAGCUCCAGAGACUGAAAAUAAUUAUAAAAAAAGAGAGAUCAAUUUAAUUACAAAAAAAGAUAAAAUCUGGGCCAGCAUAUAGAAACAAUUGCGAUAAAUAUACAAUGAGAGCAAGGGAAAUUAGAACUGAAACGCGAAGGUAAGAGAGGGUUGUCGUGAUUUAGUAAUUGAAAUAGCUGAUGCCACCUAUAUGCAUUGUAUAGCGAAAUGUAGUAUCCAAAGUCCAAACAUCCUUUCCCACCAUCCUAGCUAACUCAAGGCUGAUUUUUUUUUUUUCCCUACCAAUCUAUUGCCCAUAAAGCGGAGAAAAAGCAAUUGUUGUUACUAACUUUUAGAGGCCGUUUGGUUCAAGGUUUGUAAUGUUCCAAAAAUGUUACCCAUUUUCAUAUUUGGAAUUGUAAGUUUGUUACUAACUUAUCAAGCCACUUGAAUUGAGAGAUUGUUAAGAUCGAUCUAGUAUAUUCUUAUUAAUAAACUAUUAAUAAUUCUCAUCAAACAUGAAAAUAAGAACACCUCUUAAUCCAUGAUAACCUAGCUUUUCUACCACCUAGGAAUCUACAAUAAUUCUACUAUUUCAAUAACACCUUUUACAGCUAUCCAACUUGAAUUAAAUGGUAAUGAUUUAAAAAAAAAUUCAAUAGAAACUAUGAAAAAUUACCGGAAUAUUAUAAACCGUGAAUCACACGGGCCCCUAAGGUCAUUCUAAUAUUUUAUGGGUAAUAAAAUUAUGAAAGCGGUGAUAACAGCACAGAGAUUGCAGGGGACUUUCAUCAGUUUUUCUGCAUCUUGGCCUUAAAAGUACAAACAUAAAACUAUUAGUCUACUACAGCCCUGUUAAACUGGUACUUAUAGCCCGUCGGGCAGUGAUUAUUAAGUGGCCUAAAAUGCAGCCAUAAAGUGCAAAGCGAAAGCACAUAAUAACGAAUAGAAGGUUCCUAACAAACACAACAGAAAUCAUAAGAACCAUUCCGUCCUCCAAAUCUUUCUUUUUUUGAGAGAUAGGUAGCACACUACCCGCUAGAAAUGUGAAUCAACUAGGAUUCGAACUUGGGCCGUCCUCCAAAUCUUAAUCAACAAAUUUACUACUACAGCAGUAAAAUUCUGUGACUUGCCUGAUAGCCUCCGAUAACCAAGAAUUUGGGAUAUUUUGGAUGGAACACGCAAGAAUGGAACUGAUUUCCAUUGGAGCUUAGCUCAUCAAUGCAUUGCCCUUGUGUCACAGACCAGAUUUUCACUGUGUCCUGGCUAACAGAUGCUAGAAAGUCACCAGAUUCAUCCCAACAGACAGAAAGUACCUCAUUGUUGUGACCCUGCAAUUUAAAAUAAGAAAGAAAAAAGAAAAAGAUUACGAAGAAACAUAAUAAGAUUGUAAAUAUCAUCAGUAAAUAUCUGUAACAAAAAUUAAAGAAUGUGAAAUUUUAUGCAGAAAUACCUUCAAAGAUUGGGUCUUUAUAUCUGCUUCAACAUUGAAAAGGUUCACUACAUUUUCAGCCGCUGCAGCAAGCAGUUGUCCGAUUCGAGGCUGAAAUCUUACUUUUCCCCUACCACCCUGUCUCACAAAACAGAAAUAUAAGACAGGACAUUAAAAUGUAACAUGUGGAUAGAAUACAUAAAGCCUUGAUACUAACCCUAUAAAUUCGUGUGGGCGCAUUCUGGCCAAUGGUCCAAAGACGGAUCUCGCCAUUGUCAUCGCAGGAGCAAAGAAUCUGUGUCAUCUUGGGAUGAAAAUCUACCGAGGUCACUUGAGAGCUAUGCCCAGAAAAAGUCUGUAAAGAACCGCUUUGCUGGAAAAGAGCAGAUUUCUGAAAUUAGUAUAGUAGAAGAUUAAUGAUGACAAACUAUUUUGAGUGGUAUUUGUAACUACGGAGAGAUGUUUCAUGAUAUUUUUUUUAUAUCAUUGUUUUGGAACCCAAAGUUUCCCAAGUUCUACCAGAGAAAAAAAAGAAAAGAAAAACAACAGAAGAAUAUCAAAACUGAUAUCCUCACUAUUUUAACACUCUAAAUUGAUACGGCUAGGAUCAAUUUUUUUAAACCCAAAAACUCAACUUGAUUCAGAAAAUAACUUAGUUCGAAGACCUAGUGGAGUUUUCUUGACGAUUUAGUUGUAAUUCUCUAGUAUUCAAGUCAAAUUACGAUCUCACUAUCACAAUGACUCUAUGCAGACAAACCACGCUGAUUGCCCACCAGUAACAGAUCUGACCAAAUUAUGUUUGUGCAUGCCCGCCAGCAUGCACAUGUGCACACGUGUGUGUGUGCUUGGGCUCAGUGUGUGUGCACCAUAAUUGUGCGCAAUCAGCAAAGAUGAAGAACAUCAAUGUUGAAAGAUAAAAACAGCAUUUCAUCACAGCACGUUAUAUAGUAGAAAACUAGCCUUAACUGUUGAAUCGGUUUUUUUUUGGGUGCUGAUGAACAUGCCAUAACUUCUACCUGACCAUGCCACAUUUUCCGCUGGCGAUACAAUAUGCUAUAAAUGGCAAGGAAAGGCUAUUUUUCCCACAAACAGAAGUGCAUUUGAAAAUAUGCAAUAAAUGUGACAAUACGUCGAAUCAUAUUUUAGAAGCUCCAAAAGCAGUCUUGCAUAUAGAAGCUAAAUAAUUUGAUGAUUUUAGAGCAAAUAUUGUGCAGGCAAAUGAUUAAUCUUGUAUGAUUUGCUUGAGAAUCAGAUAACAAAUAUUCAAAUAGAGCAAAACACAACAAUCGAAAGAUUAGGUUGCUUCUAGGUGAUUUAUUAAAAAAAGUGUAAACAUGAAAACAAGUAGAUCUAUCGGCAAAAAGUGGAAAUGAUAAUCUUACGUCCGCUGCAUUCCAUAGUCGUACAGUUCCAUCAGAAGAAGAUGUUGCCAGCUGGGUUGAAUUUGGCUUAAAGCGAAUAUCUGUGAUGAAAUUAGAGUGUUCUUCGCUUUUGGUCUCCACUUGUCGAGUGUCCAUAUUCCAGAGAAAAACCUACCACAUUGCAGACAAAUAUUCUAAGAUCCCAAUGUUCAAAGAGAUUAUCGGUAUACAACUUGUACGCAGACAAACCAUUUUCAGAAUCUGCACAACGAAAACCAAAAGAAAACAUACAAGUGGCCUUAUGUUGAAGUUAUACACCAUUUUCGUCCCACAGUAAUAGGCAUAAUACCCCUCUUAGACACUACCAUAAACAUUUCUUCAACACAAAUAUAAUAGUACAAAGCCAGAAUCCAUUGACAUCAGUCACUCUUCACACUAGAUCUUAAGCAAGAUACAAAGAGGUCGAUCCAUAUCAAUCACCAAAUCCAAAUUUUCUGAUAUUGGUAAAAGUAUUAGAAAAGUUUCAAGCUUAGUCCUCAAAAUUUCAGUUUUCAUAGUAGGGUCUCAAAACAUUGCAUUCCACUGAACUCUUAGUCCUUUCGGCAUAGUCCUCCAUUAAAAUGGAUGGGAAUGCUCAUCUAUCUCUAUGUACACAGUAUAAUCCAAGUACAUAAGCUCAGGGACUGAUUGUAAUAAUUGAAUGAUUGAAAAACAAGCUGAGAGCCUGAGACAGCGCUAAAAGAUUAUAUAAGGCAACUCGAUGCCGACAGCUUGAAAGAAAUUUUCAUUUCAUAAAUUCAUCGGAUGCAUCAUGUCCCCAAACUGAAAAUACCCUGUGGUUUCUGAAGUAAUAUGACACCAAGAUAUCUUAUGGGUAAACAAAAUUCAAAUAACGUAAAAUAGUUUACCUUCUUCUCAUGCCCAGCACUAGCUAGCAAUUUCCCAUCAGAAGAGAAAUGACAGCAAACAACUUUGCUGUUGCUAGCACGGAGACAAUCAACCUCAUUAAGGGUAAAACCUGGACAGAGAAAGAAACAUUAUACAGUGACUUAGCAAACGCAAUCGUUAGUAAAGGAAGAAAUAUUUUACCCUUUAGAGAUUCCGAAUUGUGCUCAGCAGGACUUCUUUUCAGCGCAGCGAAUAUGUCUCUUCCGUCUCCAUCGUCAUUCGACAGAAAUGAUUCCACAUUUUCAUCGAAAGAACCAACAUCCCCAAAAGGCUCCAGGUCAGCCUACCAUAAGAGUGAAAUAAUUUUAGUCAUAUAUGGAGUGUUAAUCUUGCAUCUUUAUUGUCAACUAUGCAAGGAGAUACCAUCUGAUUUGAAGAUGAAGCAAUUCCAGCUCCAUCAGUGAACAUCGAAGUUUUCGGCAUAAUGCUCAGAUUUUGCAAGUUACCAGCCAUUGGAACUCCAUCACCAGGGGUAUGCGUGGAUGGGGUUGAUGGAGAAGAAGGUCCCAGGGUAUUUCCCGUACCAGUACUAUUAGCAGCCCCAGAAGAAGUAGGCUUUCUUUUCCUUGUAUUCUGCAGUCAAACGUAAAGAUGAUUUUAGACUGGACCUUGAAAAAAGAAAAAUACUUUAGACAAUCAAAUAACUUACUAAGCAUUGCCAUAAUUACAAGCAAACUACACUUCUGAGAGAGAGAGAGAGAGAGAGAGAGAGAGAGAGAGAGAGAAUUGAAUCCUUUGUUGCUAUGCCUGCUGCAACUGUUGGCGCAACUGCAGUUCUUGCAGGUGCUCUGAUUAGAGGACCGCUGCAUUUAGGCCACCUUAAACUAACAAUUAUUUCAACUAAGAGACCCAGGUAAAAUAAACAACCAGAAUUCCUAAUGCCUUUUGAACUAUUUAAACCAAAUUUUCAAACAAGCAUUUAUGAAUUCUAAAAAGCAAGAUAGAAAAAAGGAACAAAGCAUUUAGGCCUUAAACUCUUUUUUCUACUUCUAAUAAAACCUCACUAACUUAACGUCACAUACUCAAAUGAAAUAACAAAGAUACAAUAAGACAUUAUGCUAACAGAACUGACCUUCAUUACAUACUCAGCUUGAUCUGGCCUAAUUUUGGGCGAAUUGGCUUGAAUUGGAGAACCAAUUGAUCCGUCAUUCCCGUUGGGUUGACCGUCUUUACCACUCAAGCUACUCCUAGGCAAUCCCCUAAAUCUUCCAGUAUCAAUGUCGCCAUAGUUAGGUGGGAUACCAAGGUUGUUGUGAGCUUGCGCUUGUGCUAACAGUUGUUGCUGUUGUUGUUGAUGUUGAGGGAAAACUUGGAACUGAGUCUGAGAAGAUAUAAGCGGCUUUUGUAUACCUAGAUUUUGCCGUAAUGGGUCAAUACCCUGAAAAGUUCAACAAAAUUUCUAAAUUGUUAAAAUUUAUCUGCAAAGAGUAAGAAUAAUAGCUUAAACAUAAAGCUUACUGUUGUUAAAGGCCAGCCUUUUAACGGGCCACUCACACCUUGGUUCAAUCCUGUAAAAAUGGACAACAGAAAAAGAAAAAAAACAGUACUGUAUAUUACACAACUGUUAUCUGAAAUUUCAUAUAGCAGACCACAUAGUGCUAGACGAUGUAUCAUCUAAGAAUUUUGAUCAUGGACUUUUGAGUAUAAAUUAUCUGCUUCAUGUGCAAAAGUAAUCAAUAAGCCUAUAAUCAUACUAAAUCCAACCACAAAAUAAAUUAUAGCAACAUCCUAUAAGUACCACAGAAGUCACAAUUAGAUAUUUAAAUCAGAAGAAGAUAUAAUGCCACUAUAUUUAGCAUGUUAUGAAGAUACCAUAACAUUAAAAAGAUCAACUAACCACUUUGGCAUAGUAGAAUUGAGUUUCAUGAGCCAGUAACCAACGACAUAAAGUAACAGAAACAGAUUCUACAUCUAUAUUAAACAAUAUGUUAUAAUAACAGAUACUUGCAAAUUACAGUGUAAGGGCAAAAGACAAGUAAAGACUGGUGGCACAAAAACUGGAGUACAGUAUCUUAUAACUGAUGGCACAAAAACUGGACUGAUCUAUACUUUUAUGCCUGACUGAACCAAGUUACUGAGAAGUAUCCCUACUAGGCUGAGAAUCCAUGAUCACACAGAGUAUGCGACAAACAGUCUAAUUUACUCCAAGCCAUUGUUUAUAAAUUUAUAGAUUAUAAACUCACAGACAUUCAGUGUGCAACUUGUAGCUGCACUUCAAGUUCUAGUUCUUUAAAUUUUGGGUUGGCACAUGUACUUGGAACACGUUGGCAUUGUUCUAACUUCUCAAAAGAAACGUUACACAUAGUUUUCCUGCCGUCUUAGAUGAAUAUAACAUAAGGUCUCCAACAAAAUCAUAUAACAUGUGGCUAUGCAGAAAUUGCAAAAACAAAUUAAGUGACAACUGGCCUAUGAAGAGUUAUCAUACAAAAAUUUUAGGGCAAUAACAUUCACUAAAAGAGAUUUAUCAAUUUUUAAACAUGUCACAUAGAGAGGAAUAACUGAUUAACUUCAUCCAUUCCACAAAGAUUUACUUACCAGCACCUGCUAAUCCAGAUUUUCCCUGCAUGAUGCUCUGACCGUACAAUGAAGAUGCAUCCAUUGGCAAAGAUCUUUGAGGUACACCCAACUCAUUUUUGAUCUCCUGCAAAGCUUGUAACCAAAGUAUCAAAUAACAUAAUGCAUGGUGGGUCAAAAAGGUAAACAAGAUGAAAUUCAAGCUAAAAUGAGGAAGUGAUUACAGUUGAUUGCUGAUUUCGUGCCUGAAUAAGCUGCAAAGGUGAGACAUUCAAUGAAUUACCUUGGACUAAUUGCCUGCUCAGUAAAAGAGGAAUUAUUAAACAUCCUUGUACUGCAAAUUACAUUACAUAUUAAGAACAGAACAAUUUACAUUACCCAGGGCUGGCUGCUGAUUUCAGAAGGUUAAGCCUACUAGCAUCAAGUAUUUGUGAAGAUGCCUCAGAAUCCAUUGAAUUCGGAUGCUUCAUACGUUCUUCAUAAAUCUUAGCAGCCAAAACACUAGCUGUCGGCGACGCUAAAAUAGCAUCGGAAUUUAUGGAAUUUAUUACACCAUUAAUAGCUGGAUGGUUCACAUCUCUUCGGUGAAUCUGUGGAUGUCGUUGAUUCAUGAGCUGCAGCUGCUGCAUCUGCAGUUGCUGCUGCUCCCUUGUUUUCAAUUGUUGUACCUGCACUUUUACAUAGCUAGUGAAUCACCUCCUUCAUAUAAGUAGAGGAGGAGCAAAAGAAGAAAAAAAUAAAAUCAAGAAACAUUAAAAAGUACCUCUAGGUAUGCUGACGCAACCUCUGAGUGCUUUCCGUUAGUUCUUGCAAUGAAUAUGUCCCAAAACACAGACCACCACUCAAAGAGGAAUCCUCCAGGCGCGUCAAUAGCUGCACAAUUAAGCAUGUUACUUUUGGUUAUUAGGCAUUUUUAAAAAAAAAAUCAAAUGUAACUGGGCAAACUAAUACUGCUUUUUUACAUGAGCUGAUUAGAUGGAGCAAAUAAAGGAAAACCAUAGACAGAAUCUUGCAUAUAAUAAUAGUGAACGCUUUGGACAAUCGUUGAUAUUUAAAGACUCCAAAAUUUUCAUCUAAAAACUGUUUCGUUUGAAGUAGACGACACAAAAAAAAUGUCACAUUCCCCCUUUUCUUCCCUUUUUAACCUUCCCCAUCCUUGCUUAUCUAGACAAAAGUCAAGUGCCCACUCAAUUUCACUCUUAAUUACACAUUCUAAUUUGUGAGUUUAAAGAGAUGCUGUCUACAAAUUUUAAACAGAAUUUCCCAAAAAAGAGAAAAGUGUGAGGACCAUGAUGGUGUUUAUGGGGCACCUUAGAAGUUUGAUGCUCUAUUUAUUGCAUUUAAUGGAACCAUUUUCACUAUAAACCUGCACUGCUGCUAUUAACAAAGAAACAACUUAAAAGGAAAAGAAAAUUGAUGUGUCUCCCAUUAAAUCAACGAAUGCAGUAUACGCUAUAAAGAAAUUGAAUCAAGAAGUAACGAGGUUUUGUAUUCUUCUGUUGUUUUCUGUUCUCAUGAGCACUAAAUUCUACAAUUUCAUUCAGCAGAACUUUGCAGAAUGUGGUUCAUUCAAACUGCAAAAUUAACAGAAGAUUAAGUAUCCACUCCCUAGUUUAUUUCAAAUCGUAACUUCUGCAGAUUCUAAAGUUAAGCCUUUCUGUUACUAAAAUAAUAAUCCAUGUUAUUGUUGUUGCUAAUCCUAUAAUGACAUGAUGCGACAAUGACACUGUAAAAAUAAUAGAUCCAAUAACUGUCUAAUGGAGUCUUAAUCUCUUUGCAGUUAGGAAGAGAUCUUAGUACGGUGAUUCACCUGUUUCCGGUACAUCUAACUAACAUGUAGCGCCAAAGAAAGAAAUUAAACAAAGAAGUAAAUAAAAGGGAACUGUGUGCUCAUUCAACGCAGUCGCUUUCUGUGUAAAACACACUGCAAUCCGAGUAAAACACAUAUUACCUACUGGAUCUGUGGCAACCUUCCCCUCGGCCAUGAACGAUUUCGCGGUCGCUUGCAAAUUCCUCUUCAACAGGUAAUCGUAAAUGUACACAUCGAGCCUAAAAACCACAUAACAAAGAAGGUCAAAAUGGAUUCACCAAAAAAAACACAAAAUUUCUUAGAAAAAACAGCAGAACACCCACAUCUUAUCCGCUUCCCAAGUGCCCUGCGCCAUGAUCACGCUCUGCAAUCGCGCACAGCCGGAGAGAGACGAAUCUCACACACGCCCCCUACAAUCGCAUCGAUCUCCUUCCAAAAUCGAAAUGAAAUCCCAGACCCUAAUUUAAAAAAGAAACACGACCAUAUCACGAUCCGCAUUUCGCAAAACCCGCUGCUAUUACUCAUCACUCUGGAUCAAAAACCGAUCGUUUCUACCAAAAUUUUACGCGAUCGGUACGUACCUGCGGGUAUCUACGGAUAAGGGUCCUCCGAUUUGGGGAUCGAUCAGGAUCGUAGAGGGACCGUAAUCGAAACCCUAGAUAUACGGACGAAUAUAUCAAAGAUUCGGAGAAUGGGGAGAAACCAAAGAGGAGGGGGGAGAGGGGGACGAGAUCGAACGGAGCUGGGAUUUCUUGUUCUCGAUUCGGAAUCCGAGCCUGAGGUUCGGAUCCGAAGCUGAGGAGGCUUGGAUUUUAUCGUCGCUCAAACACUUAAAAAAAAGGAAAAACUUCGAAAAUCCCCCCUAUGGUUUCGCACUUUCUCAUUUCACUAUCUUGUGGUUUAAAGUGUAUCAAUUUGUCCCCAUAUGGUUUUUUUUUUUUUUUCGACAGUUUUUUUUUAAUAUUUCGUUAAAUUAUAUACAAAAAACUUCAGAUACCUAUCUAGAUUUAUCGAAUAUUUACUUUAUUACCCUUUAAUUUUAACUUUGUCACUGAUUUAAGAAAAAAUAAUAAUAAAAUUGGUACUAAAAAGAGAAAAACGAAAAAAUAGGGGGACAAAUUAAUAGACUUUAAACCACAAAGUACUAAGGUGAGAAAGUGCGAAACAACAUCGGUUUUUUGAAGUUUUCCCCAAAAAAAGAAAAAAAAAGGUAACAUUGCAUGAAGACCCCUUAACUAUGAACAAUUUGAAGUUACCUUAACUAUGCAAAAUUUUUAAUUUUUCAAAAUUUUAAUUUCACUGUCCAAUCUUUUAAUUUAUUAAUUUGAGUGGUUCAACAGUAUUUUGAGUUUAAAAUUUAUUUAGUUAUUAAUUUUAAUAAAUCUAAAGUUGCGAGAAUAAUUAUAUAAAGCAUACUAAUUAAAUAUGUAAAUAUAAAAUAAAAGGAUUUAAAAUUUGAAGCCUAGGUGUCAGUUACUUAUUCAAAUCAAAUAAAUUAAAAAUUUAGAUAGUAAAAUCAAAAUUUUUAAACUUUGAGCAGCUCAUUUAAAAUAAUUCAUAAUUUAAGUAAGUUUUAUGUAUUUUUAUCUAAUUUGAAAUACGCCUUUUGACCAUGAUUUUUUUUUAUUUUUCACAUUCAUAUAGAUUAUUUGAUCAAUGAUCAGGGGUUUUGAUAAAAAUUAACAAAUUAUAACAAAAUUUACACUUGAUUUCGAAAAUUACUUAAAGCUCAAAGAGUUUUUUAAAAAAAUCUUUAUUUCGUCCUAAAAUAAAUAAUAAUAAUCGAUCUGGAUUCUUUUCAAAGAUCUUAUCAUUGAGGGGUCUCCAUGCAAGUUUUACAAUUGACAUCACUCCCGUUCUUUAACGGACGGUUAAAGAUCAACUAAAAGAUGUACGGACGAUCAUUGAUUAAAUCUCAACCGUUCCUUUUUCUGUCGGAUGCGUGGAUAUUUGCGCCGGGUCGGGCGAGUCAGCGUUCACACGGAAAAAAAAAAAAAAAAAGACAAAAAAGAUAUUUGCGUACGACUCCGCGCAUACAUCUUCCGUGCGGGGGCUCGGCGCAGCGUCCACAAGCGUACGAUUGUUCGCACGCGUGAGAAACGGUAUUCACGCACGAAUCUCGAUGCGUACACCGUUCGGUGGGGGGCCACUCUAGCAAACUAUGCGUGUCCCCGCAGAAAAGAUAUCUAUGUUCACACGAAAGCUCUCGCUGCUUAUGCACCCAAAAAGUUGUGACGGUAAUAAAUAUUCUAAAAUGUGACAGUGACACGGAAUUAUCUGAUUUUUAACCUUUUUUUUUUAUUUUUUUAUUUGAAGUUCAGGGAUGUUGAUGGAUACAGAUAUUCGUAAUUUUAUUCGGAAUCAUCUUCGAAUCCGACGAAUUUAAUUGAUACUAAAUAGAUAUUGCUUUGGAUAUUGAUUUUAUUUGCAUCCACUCUAAACCCGAAUUGAUUUUACCUUAUAUAAUAUGUAACUAUUUGAUAUUAUAUUUAAAUUUGUAUUUUAAAAUUUUAGUUUUAAUGUAAUAUGUUUUGAAAUAUGAUAAAAAUAAAUAAUUAUUUUGAUUUCAAUUUUUUGGGUUCGGGUUCCAGUUUCGAAUUUUUAGUCAGCUUUGGGUUUGAAUAUAAAUUUUUAAAAUUUAUCAUGUUCGAAUUCAGGUUUUAAAUUGGAUAGUGAAAUUUGGGCUCAGAUUUUAAAAAUUUAGUCUGAAUCCGAUGAGUUGACCUUCCUAUUGGAGUUCAUGACUAACAUGGCAAAUCUCUACAUCAAUGUCAACUAGUCAUACCUCAUGAUUUGAUUAGAUUAACUAAGCGAUUGCGUCACGUCACUAUAUUUCAACCCGUUUCUUUUCGCUAUGAUUUGAAAAUUUUAAUUGACUUGAGAUACAAUAACGCAAUGCUACUGCUACAUGGAAGAUCAUCUCGUAAAUAGGAUUAUCUGUAGUAUCCUUUCUUAUAUAUAUAUAUAUAUAUGUAUAUAUAUUAGUACCUAGACUAAGUGUGCAUGGCUAUGGAUGCCACGUGCACUCCCCCAUGCAUGCUUAUCUGGUUGAGGGUGGCUCUAAUUAAGUUAGUUUUUGCUUUCUCUCUUUCGUGUGAAGUAGAGAACCACACGAGGUGGAGCUUGGGGGAGUAGCCGUAGAGCUCGGAUUCAACGUCGACAUCGCGCCGCGGAGCCGUUCGAGGAUACGGUUGCAGUCGUAGCAUCGCGAGGAGUCCGGGCGAGGGCGUGGUUUCGCCGUUCUCGACGUCGCACGCGUUGGAUUUAGCAUACGAGGUGGGUUUAUCAUCGGAAUCCUACUUCUAUAAUAUUGUUCAUCGAUAUGUAUCGUUAAUAUUACAAGUUGUUAUUGUUUAGCUCAAAUUCAUGAGUAGGUAUGUUUUAGACAUAUAAACUGAAUUGGGAGCAUGUUAUUAGUUGUUAUUAAUCAUACAUGUGGGACUUGGAUAAAACAUAGGAGAAAACCAGCGUUCGGAACCUGGCAUAUGUUGAAUUACCUGAUUUAGCUUUAGGGGCCGUUGUAUUUUUAUACAGUUGUUGUAUUCGGGUUGUGAGUACCCCAGGUAGUUUAGUUUACUGUUACACUCGUGCUGGGAUGCCGAGUUUAUUUUAUAGUCAUGUUUAGACUGUUCUGGACUAGUGGGUGCCGUCGUGGUUGACGGUGGACCCGGAUUUGAUCAUUUUGAGAUUUGAUUGUGCCGAGGGCAUGUGGAUAGUGGUUAGUGGUUCAGUGAGACCUAUUGCUUGACUUAGCCUGUGAGGGCAGCCUGAGAUUGACAGUAACCUCGUUGGGUCGCGCCCACGAGAGCCAUUCCGGAAUGAUGUUUCAGUGCGAUCGGUGUCGCAGUUUCUGUUAAAUAGUUACGUGCCGGCCACUUGCGGGGUGGUGUACGGCAUAGCUGAUUACAGGCAGAGUGGGUCCGUUUGGACAGCUCAAAUGAGAUUUGUGGUGAAUCAGUUUGAAAUGCGAUUGGGUCAAGUGCAUAUUAGAUACAGUAGGAUAGUGUAGUGGCAUAUAGCUGUAGAUUUCUUUCCAGCUUUACUUUCCAGCCUUGUUUCCUACUGUAGUCUUAGUGGGUAAGCCGAUGAUGUUGAGGGCGGUACCCACUGAGGACUACUUGUUUUUACAGUAGUUCUCACGCCCAGUUGCUCCCUGUGUUUUGCAGAGCCUUCUGUUCCGGCGGCUGCAGUUUCUGAGACCGAUCGAGGGAAGGGUGUUGCGAGUUAGAGCCCUACCUGACGAGUCGCCGUGCUAGAGGAUCCCCAGCUGCAGGUAGUAGAGUUUUAUUUUUCGGUAUUAUGUACAUACUGAUACUGAACUCGCUGGAGCGAGUGGUUUGUACUUUGUAUAGUAUGUAUACAUUUGAGAUGCUUUCUUUUUGGUUCUACCUGCUUAGUUCUUUACAGCUCUACGCUACUGUUUGUAGCAUUGUUUGUUUACAGAUACUGUGAUUGCUUCGUAUACAGAAAAAAUUUCUUGUAUACGGCGGAUCUAUUAGCGUGCCCGGGAAAAGUGCUAUCCGGGGCGUGACAUUAUCCCUCAUUUUUUUUUUUUUUAAGAGAUAGAUAGUAUACUAUCCGCUUCGUUUAUUUCAUUUAGAAAUAAAUUCAGCAGGAAAUAUGAAUUAACUAGGAUUCGAACUUAGAUCUCAGGUAUCAACCACAAAGCCCUUUGCUACUUGCUUUAGGGACGGUCGGUUUUCCGCAUCUAAUUUUUAAUAAUUAUUCUAGCUCAGAAUCUUAAUAAGAAUACAGUAUUAAACGGUGGAUCUAGAAAGAAUCCAAUAAAAAGAAUGGAAGGAAUAGUUGAUUUGGUUUUGUGGAGAAAGUUUUACUAUACGGCAGUCGCUAAUAUCCAACCAAUCACGUAACUUAUUUGGAAAGAAAAAUACAAUAAAAAUGUUUUUUUUAAAAAUUAUGAUGGAACGGGUAAAUUUUAGAAAUAAAAUUUGAUUAGUUAAAGACACCCUGUUAAUAGUAUGACUAUCAUAUUUUAGACUUUUUUGGUGAAACACUUUAAUAUGUCAAACGUGAAAAAUGAGACCUUUAAAUUCUUGAUAUUAGUUGAUCACAAUAAAUUGUCGUGAUGUAUAUAUUUAAUGAUAUAUUAGCGUGUUCUGCAAAUUUACAAUUAAUGUAGUAUUAUUAUUAUUGUAAUCCGUACUACGAUUUAGAUGAACUUCAUGAGAAAAUGAGUACCUCUCUAAAGUCUAAACAUACAAAAGUAACUUAUCUGAAGUUGUGCACCAUUUUGAAUUAAUUAUCCAAACAUUCAAAAUAUCAAUUUUACUACUCAACCUUUCAAAUUUAUUUUUGAUUUAAAUUAGACAACGAUACUUCAACUUUAAAAUUUGAAUGCAUCAUACAAUUCUCCCAAUAAAUUUAUCACAGUAAAUAAUUAUUUUUAAAUUUUGAAGUGCAGUAUGCAUUUUAAUUUCAGAACCAAAUGUAGGACACCACAAAUACAUCAAUCCAAUGGGAAAUCAAUAACAUUCACAGCAAGAUUCGCCGAAAUAUUUCAAUUGUUUCAGUUUUUUCACCACUGUUACCCAACACAAGUAGGAGCAGGAGCCAUAUGUUUCAAAUAAAAGCAAACAUCAUAGCAGCAAGGAAAAAGAAAAACAAUUGUCCCUGUAAAAGGCAGAUAAAUCGGCAAGUUCGAAGCGCACGAGUGCUUCGGAAGAAUGGUGUGUGUAUGAGGGUCACUAACUAACAUAUGCGCCUAUCCCUGCUGCCGCAUGGGGGCUCUCGGCCGCCCGUGCCUCUCCAUCACUCUCCUCGUGGCAAGGGCCGCCGCCUCACUGGCUCGCAGAGUUCCCGUUGCCAUGAUCGCCGCGAAUUCCCUGGUAAUCUCUUCCUGCACCUUUUGGCGAGCCUCUCUGAGAGGAUCCGACGAUUGGGCGUUCUUUGUCUUGGCUUCUGAAUCAGCUGCAGGCGGAACUGAACUUCCCCUGCUCUCUGCAGUUUUAGCAGAACUCUCGGAAGCAGGACGGCGGGAAUCAGAUUUGACAGGACUAUUGGUAGUAGUCGAGCUUGGCGUUUUGUUUGCUGGUGGAGGCUGAGCAACUGCAGGGGAGGGGGGUAUGAACUGCGGAGCUUGAGGAACUGCUCCGGAUCUCAUGGUGGUUUCUAGCCUCUGAAUCAUUGGUACUGUAGACGAAGAAAUGUCACUUAAAAAUGGAAAAAUGUACUAACCCUAGACACUACAAGUCUACAACUAAAAGAAAUAAUAUCCCAAACUGUCAGUGUUUCAUAUUCAGACCUUUUGAAGGUUUCAGUCAGUUCAGUUCUAAAUUUUUCCCACGGCAGGUUGAAAUGAUAGAACCUCAUAAUCAUGGAAGUAGAGAUUGAUGGAUCCGAGUGCAACAGAUUGCAAGUUGAGGCCUCAUAUGGCCGCAUAAUGUUUUGGUUGUGCAGAUUGACCUCUGCACUAGUUAUUAUAAGCUUAGAUUGUACACACCUUUUUAUUUCCGUAAAAUUUACUACUGAGUUUGUUUUUUUUUUUUCUCUUUUAAUUUUGCCAAAGAAACCUCAUUGAUGUAUAGAGAUAACCCAAAAAAGCUGAAAUGAAAUAUCUCACAUAUCAGUGCACCCAUUGGGCUGUUCAUCACAUCACUGGGGAGCUCCAGAAUGUAGCUAGGUAUUGAGGCACCGACCAAAAACUGGGCAACCUCAUUGCUGAAGUUGUUGCAGUUGUGGCUAAGAAGGUUGUAAGUCUCCGGGGUGUAGCGCCCGCUGAUCUCCUGCAGAUAGUCCUCAAAGACCUCCUUGGGUACAUGCGUCACCCCGAGAUCUACAACCCGGACUGGUGUACCAUACGGUGUCCUCCCUGCCGGAUCUUGUUGGAUGCCGGCACCAAAAUAGUACUCAGUUCCAUAUACUACCACCCCGGUAUGCCUGUAACAUCAUAUACAAAAGAAGGGCUUAAUUGGCCAAAUUGCUCACUAAUACAUACUACAUAGCCAAUAGAAUGAUAGAUAUAAUCAUACAAUCGUAAAAUUGACCAACAAGGAAUCAAACCAAGUACAUAGUUGCCAAUAUUGCAGUAGCUCUCAGUAACUCCCAAACCGAUUCUAUACGAUAGGCACAAAUAAGUAGAUAAGUUAAAAAAUACUUAUCAUCUCAGCAUUCACAAUUUGCACAACUUUCUAUAACUACUAGAUGAAUUAGAAUGUUGCUCAAAAUCCAGCCCGUCAACAGGCUGUGGGUCAUGCAAAAUUAAAGGAAAAGGCUUGUAAUAUCAGGAAGCCAUUCGACACCUUCAAGGAAGAGGUCGCAUUCUGUAAAUAAGAAAAUGCUUUGAAUCCCCUAUAAUGCCACCCUUAUGGGCCCCCUAAUAUGUUGUGGCCUGCACCAUAUAAGCCAAUCUGCACAUGACAUGUCAACAGUCCAUAAUGUCAGUAUUCAGGGGACCCCGGCAGCACUCUUGUAAGCAUUCACUCUCGUACUAUGAACUUGACUAUUUUAUAUGGCGAUGUGCAACAUGAGGUAUUCCAAGUAGCACAUUGGUGAUUUCACAUCUAUGUAAGAAAAAGAGAAGUGCAAAGCGAAAAAUAUAAGCCACAAAAUUCAAACUAAACAUUCCUAUAGAAACAUUAGAACACAAAGUUCAAUAUAUGACGAUCAUGGUGGUAUAGACAAAAAGAAAGAACCAAGGGAAUGCAAGUAACAAGAAGAUAAUAGCAUUUUUGUCCAGCCAAGUUAUCCUUCCGAUCCACAACGAACCUACCAAUAAGAAACCCCAUAUUUCACCUGUCCAAAUCCUGGUACUAAACUCUUCCUUGCAUUCCAUUUCCCACUAGAGAAAUGAUGUUCUCAAUCAUCAUCCCCAGUGGCGCUGUUCUGACGCUUAGCUUGUAGGAAACACCACAAUAUUAAGUUUUCCUGGGAUUCAUUGUUAUGAUAGUUACUAUAACCAACCGGGCCAAACUCUAACAUUUUUGAUAGAAGGAUAGAUAAUGAUACAGGUCACCUUUUUUAAGUUAGCUUGGAACUAACACAGCACUUUUGACAUCAAGGAGUCGUUCUACUUACAGAGCCUGUUUGAAGGCCAAAACAAGUUAUCUAGUAAUUAACUGCUGAACUAUGAGGAUGUCCUUUUAUGAUUGAAAGCUAGGAGUUUAAUUUUAGCUGGUUAUAAGGUCUUGGCGGUCAUGAUUUGUUAGACAUUUCACCCGCGAGCGAAAUGAUUGAUUCCUUGGAGACCAAAUAUAGUGUGUGUGCCUUUCUAGGCAUUUGAUCAUACACCUGAUGUACCAAAUCCUAUAAGCUUCUUGAAUAAUGAAAGAGAUUUGCUGAGCAAAAAUGUUCAUGCAUCUAACAGUUCUAAACAGGCCCAUAAUGUCCGAAGUAAAACGCCAUCUUCAAUAGAAGCUUACCAUAUGGCUUCAAUGGCUUUUCCUAGGAAUGUUGUCGAAAGCUGGCGAGCAAGCCCCUGACUCAAAUCAUAUACAUUCAAUUUAACCUUGUACCCACCCUAAACCACACAAAAAAGGUAACUUUAGCUUAUCAAACUAACACUAACAUCAGAAAUCCGAAUCAAACACAAGACUAAGAAACUUAAACCCUACCUCCUCCAUUUUUUAACAGAUCCAAAGAAACCUACAAAAAGAAACACCAAAUGCUUAGAAUACCCAAACAAACACAGAUACAGAUGAACAACAAUGGUAACUCAUACUCCGAUCAUAAUCAACCAAAUUCUCCUAAAUUCUCAAUCAACCUAUGACAACACAAUAUUAGCAUAAAACUAGUAAAAUAAAUCCUCAAAAAUUGCAGCAAAAAGUUUUAAACUUCCAAAAUCAAUCGAGCAGAGAAAAAAAAAAAAAAAGCACCCAUCCUCAAGCCCUAGAUCUCAACGAAAUCUGUAUCAAUCAGUCCCAAAUUACACAAACAAUCCUCCUAACAAGAUCAAAAACUGUAAAAAUUCCCAAAUCUAGAGCUCUAAUCCCUAAACUAGAUCAAAAAAAAGAAACCUUAACUAAAGAGGAGUAAAGAGAGAGAAAGGAGUUACCUUGGGGACGAAGAAUCAAGAAGUUGGAGCGACCAAAGAACGAAAAAACGCGCUGGGUUUGGAACCUAUAUAUAGAGCGGGUCUUCUCCGGAGGAUCUAUUCCGUGCACCUGGUUCACCAAAUCAGCAUGCUCCAUCCGCCGUUACUUCCAAAAUUGACAAUUAUUGGGCGGUUGAGAUCUCCAAAAAAAUAAAGACGACUGUCCGGUUCACAGAUGAUGUGGUGGACCGGGUCCCUGCAACAUCAGUGUAAGUCCCUGGUCCCGCCGGGAGUUCUAGAAUGUCUCUAUUUUUUUUUGCGUUUAACUCCCUCGAAAAUUUAUAUUUACAUAAAUAAUGCUCUUCUUGCCACCUGAGGGCCUUAGUGACAUUUUUAAGUUCAAUAUAGUGGUUCAAUUACUAUAUUUAAAUACGAUAAUAAUUAGAUAAAAAGAUAAACUUUAAAUACCACUCCUGUAAUUUCACAUUUUCUCACUUUAGUACCCUGGAUUUAAAGUGUAUCAAUUUAGUAUCAUAUGGUUUCAUUAUUCACUUUUUAUUAGCUCCUCCAUUAACAUUUUGUUAAAUUAUAUACAAAAAAUUUCAGAUACCCUACAUAAGUUUAUUGAAUAUUCUCACUUUAGUAUCUUUUAGUUUUAACUUUAUUACUAAUUUAACGAAAAAAAAUUAAUAGAGAAGAUAAUAAAAAGAGAAAAAUAAAACCACGAGGUACUAAAUUGAUACAUUUUAAACUGCAGAGUACUAAAUUAAAAAAUGUGAAACCACAGUGGUGGUAUUUAAAGUUUUUUUUAGAUAAAAAAGAAUACGAUAAUUCAGUCAUCGUAUUUAAAUACGGUGAUUCAUUGACGAUGUUCAACUUGAAAAUACAAAUACGGCAACAGCGUGGUAAGAAAAGGAUCAAUGUGCAAAUAUAAAUUUGCUAAGGUUAUUUGUGAUUUUUUUUUGAGGGGGGCUAAAUUCCAAAAACAAACCCUUUCUAGAACUUUCUCACCAAUUUCUUGAUCCGCACGUGUUAUAAAGGUAACAUGGAUUGGGGGGAUUUUUUUUUUUAAAAAUUUUUUUUGGCUGUUGUUGUUGUUGUUGUUGUUGUUGUGUGAGGGGGUUCUACAAUUUGCAAGGAAAACAUUUUGUGAAGGAUUUUUUAAAAAAUAAAUUCUUAAAAUAUUUAUAAUUUAUCAAAUAAUUCUAUCAAAAUUUAAUUUGGCAAAAUAAUUCUAUUAUAAUUGGCUAACGGUAGGCCGUGCUGGCCCGACACGGCCCACAUUCACCGGGGCCAAAUCCCAAGGGCCCGCAAACCGGGCCCAAGGCCUAAGGCCCAACUCCCAAGGGCCCGCAAACCGGGCCACGGGCUUCACUACUGGCCCGGCACGGCUCAGGCCAUAACGGGCGGUGCCGUGCCGGGUCUACGGGCUCAGGUGGAUCGGCCCAGCACGGCCCGGAGAGCCGGCCCGGCCCGAUCCGGCCCGACAUGAAUGCUACAGUAAUCGUGCCGGGCCGAGCGGCCCCCCUAGAUAACGGUAAAUCAUUUACCAUCUUUAAUAAAAUUUAAUAGGCUAUGACUCAUUUACUGUUUUUUUCCUUGAGAAUGAAAUAAUUCAUCAUUUCUUUCUGUUUCUUAUAUAUAAUCAGAUAUAUAUUUCAACAAAUGCAUAUAACCUUGACGGCCUAAAAAUAUUUAACAAUCUGUCUAUAUAAUUCUAACAAUUAAAUAAAAUUUCAAUGAUUCACAAACAAUCCUAACAUUCUCAUAAAAACACUCACAAUCCAUACACAAAAAUCUGUAAAUAAUGAUGAUAAUAAUAUAAAGAUGGGGAAUGAUUCAUCAUUUUUUAAAAAAUGGUGAAUCACUCACCGUUUUCCUCAUUUUUAUCUAAAUUUUUGUUCAAUAUGACACUAAGUUGGCGAGAAGAGAAUUAGUUGACCAAAUUUUUUAAAAAAAAAAUUGAAAAAGUCAUUUGGUCAAUUAAAUUUUUUUUAAGAAAUAUUUUUUGUCCACAUAUAAAUUUUAUAACAUUCGAUACAAAUAUAUAUGUUGACAUGACACUUUCUCGCCUAUUUUUCUAACGACUAUAAUUACUGUUUUACUUAUGAAUUAAACAUAUACUCUUCUAAAUUGUAACUGCUACGAAUUUAAAAUGCUCUACGUUAUUAUGUAAGUAAAAGUAUUAUAAAUAAUACAAAGCUUAAUUUAAUAAUGUGGUAGCUAAAAGUAUUAUUUUUAUAUUAAGUAUAUACUGCCCAAAAAUUUUAAAAGUAUUUACAAUUCUCUAUUCUCCAAUAUUAUAAAAUUAUAGUUGCAACUGCCACAGGAGGUCACAUAUUUCUUUAGUCCCGAUUACAAUCAUACUUUUAUAGUGUAAAAGAAGCGAAGAUAAAAAGCAACUUAAAUUUUUUUUUUUUAGAUUUUUAUAGUAUGAAAAUGGUAUUUUCAAUCACCUUAUUAUAAAACAAGAUCUAAAUAAGAUAGAAGUGGGCAUAAAUUACUUGUAAAGUUUAUUAUUUUCUUUUACUUUCAAACAUAUUUUGGAGUAUUUCUCACCCUGCAAUCUAAGGAUUCUCCAUAUUUGUUUUUUUUGUUUUUUUUUUUUUUUGGGAAAAACUUCAAAUACCACAUCUGUGGUUUCACACUUUCUCAUUUUAGUACCCUAUAGUUUAAAGUGUAUCAAUUUAGUGUUCUGUCGGUUUUAUUUUUUAUUUUUUUAUCGAUUUCACUAUUUUUUUACGUUAAAUCAGUGACAAAGUUAAAACUAAAGAAUACUAAAGUGAAUAUUCGAUAAACUUAGUGGGUAUCUGAAGUUUUUGUAUAUAAUUUAACGAAAAUAUUAACGGAGAAGCUGAACAAAAAGAUAAAAAUGAAACCACAGAAUACUAAUUUGAUACAUUUUAAACCAUAAGGUAUUAAAGUGAGAGAGUAUGGAGCCAUAGGGCGGUAUUUGAAGUUUAUCCCCUUUUUUUUUUUUUUUUAAUAGUGUGAAAGUUUACUUAUGAUAAAAGGAAAGUUAAAUUUUUUGAUGAAAAGUUUUUAGUGGAAUAACCAUGUCCAAAUAAUUUUGGAAAAACUUCAAAAAAAACCCAUGUGGUUUCUCACUUUCUCACUUAGUACCCUGUGGUUUAAAGUGUAUCAAUUUGCCCCCCCUGUGGUUUUGUUUUUAUCUUUUCAGCAGCUUUUUUUUUUUAAUAUUUCGUUAAAUUAUAUACAAAAAAACUUCAGAUACUCACCUCGAUUUAUCGAAUAUUUACUUUAGUAUCCUUUAAUUUUAACUUUGUCACUGAUUUAAAAAAAUAAUAAUAAAAUUGAUAAUAAAAAGAGAAAAACGAAAUCACAAGGGAGCAAAUUGAUACACUUUAAAUCACAAAGUAUUAAUGUGAGAAAGUACGAAACCACAGGAGGUUUUUUUGAAGUUAUCCCAAAUAAUAUUUUCUUACAAGCUUUAGCCACUGAAAAAAGGUUUAAGUGUAAACUCCAAUGUGUACAAUGCUACAUGUAUACCUCUAGAUUAGGUGUGUAAAACUGUAAGUAAAUUAUACCCAAUUUAUCUAAACAUUAUUAUUUUUCUACUAGUCUUAUCCCUUUUUGUAAUUACUUAAAAUCCAAAACAGUUUUGUAAAUUCUAUAUUACUACGUACUAUAUAUAAAAUGUCCAGGUAGUUUUGUUUUCAGGCCAUUGUCAUGUAGCAUAUUUUUUGUGUGUAAUUUAUCUUGUGAUUUUAUUUUGUUUUUAUCCUAAGAACAAACCAUAGAAUAAUAAAUUACAAAUUGUAGGAUGAGAAAACACUAUAUUAUACCAUUAUGUAGUUUGUAAAAAGUAUCAACUCACUAUCCUUGAUAAAAGUAAAUUCCUAUAGUAAAACAAAAAAUAAAACGAUAAGAUAGAUGAACUCAACUUUUUGAACUAUAAGAUGGCUAAGUGAAAUUGCGUUAAACCACAUCACGGAAAAAUUUAAAUUUACCCAAAAAAGUUAACAGUUAAGAUAGUGUAGUGCUUUAUAUUGUCUAUGAGGUUGAAAACUUGGACAAUGUCGGCGUCAAAUCAGCGAGAGCAAUACUAUCUGUACACUUAAUAUGAAAUAGGUAUACAGCUCACUUCCUAUGCUUUUUGUGGCUUAUAUUUACUCGCUCGUCUUAUCAUCUAAAUGAAAAAAAAACCAAAAAACUAUGCAGAUAAUAAUUGUAGGGCUUUUUUUUACAUUUGACCCUCUCAAAAUAUUUUUCUUUACAAAUAACCCCCAUCAAAUUUAUAAUUACAAAUUUGGCUCUAUCUCCGCCACGUGGGCGCCACAUCAGGGGCAUGGUGUUAAGUUGAACACGGUGAAUGGUUCACCGUGUUUUAUACAUAUAUUCCCCUUCUUUCCCCUUUUCAAUAUUUAUAAUUUUUCGCAAUACAAUACAUAUAUACUAUAUUUUUUCCAAACACGGUGAACCAUUCACCGUGUUUAGACACGUUGAAUGAUUCACCGUGUUCAACUUAACAAACUGACCCCAACCCCGCUGACGUGGCGCUUGCGUGGCAGGACUAGGACAAUUUUUACGAAUAUAAAUUUGUUGAAAUUAUUUUUAAAAUAAAUUUUUUUGAGGGGCCAAAUGCAAAAAAAAAAAACCCUAACUGUAUUUUCCAAUCAAUAUAGGCUCUAAACUGCUAAAGAUAAUUUGUGAUUUGUCAGUUCCAUUUUCAGUUUAAUAGGAAGCACUUUGGGUGGAAUCACUGUUUCUCACAUCCUCUACACUGCCACCAUGAUGAGAGCCCUUUAAUCCCUUCAAAUUGAAAGCCCUGUUCCCUAUUAACUUGACAGAACCCCUCAUGCUACAGCUUUGUGAAAGAACUUGAUGUACUUUUUACUACUGUCAAACAGUAAAAAAGGCAUUAAAAAGAACACCAAUUACUCACAGUAGAAGCUAAACACACCCACCAAAGAGAAUCUGUACCUACCACAAAUAAAUGUGUUCAAAUGAAAAGGUACAAUGCAUGAAUAGUCUCUGUACUGUCCCAAUAUGGUGUGACUUGAUCCUUGCACUUUUCACUUAAACAUGCUAGCUGUUAACAUUUACAUAUCUUAUUACAUUCAUUCUAGUCACUGAAUCACAAUCAAACCAUUAGGUGAGAANAAAUAAGUAAACCAUAACAAAGAAAAUAUAUAUAUAUUCAUUGUAACUAGCCCACAAUACUCAUUCCCUCUAAUUAUCAUCGAGCCAACAUGGACUUGGCCACAUUCAAUGAGCUUUUGUCCAUCAGGUCCAUCAGCCAAUGAGCUUUUCUUUUUCAGGUCCAUUAGCCAUUCAGCAGCAAUAUAGACGAAAGUUAAUCUGACUACACUGUCCAGAACCCACACAGACCAAGAAGAGAUUGUGAACAUAAUACUUAAAGAGAGAAAAUUUGAACAACAUUUGUGACUUAUAGAGAAUGAUGACCUUGUAAGAGUAACAGUGAAGUUCAGGAGUUAGGGGCUUUUUUUUUUUUCCUUUUGUUUUGUCCUUCUUUUCUUUCCAAGGUGCAACUCAUCACCAAUUCUCUAUGGUACAGAUAAUUAGAGGCUACAAACUAGUUAGAUUAGCUAAAUUUUUACAACACAGAGAGGAGAAGUUAAGGACAAUUGGAGAGGUUGAGAAAGGGAAAGAAACUGUUGCCAGAUGAAGAUUUUGAGAUUUCAAGCCCUAGUAAUCCAGCUUCACCCAUUCAUACCUCCCCGGGAGCGGGUAGUCGUUUAUCGGAUCAAAGUUGUACCUACAAAAUAUAAUUCCACCAAACUAUUAGUGCACGUACUUGCACGUAUCUAUAAGCAUCCGCACAAGCACAUACAUUUAAAGUAAACUAGUAGAUCUAAUCUACAACAUCUAUAAGGCCUAUAUGUAAGUAUGAUGACAUGUAUUUAUGAAUUCCGCCUCGAAAACUAGCCCCAUCACCUUAUUCCAUUCAAGAAGCUCUAGACUAACACCAUCUAGACUAGAGAAGGAAAAGGAACGGAGAAAAGUAAAAGAACAUAACAAAGAAGGCAUACUUCUCCAUAAAUAUUUGCUGUUGGAGCCUCUCCGCAUCAGCAAAAAACUCUUCCAUCUCAAGGGCAGUCGGGAAAGCUCGAUGCAGCAAAUUCCGCUCUCGGCGGUUUGAAGCACUCGAGUUCGUCGGUCUCGUUGUAGAGCUGGGAGUUCCUAUUGCAUCCGAAUCCCUUAUCAAACUACAAGGUGUUGACUCCCUCACAUCCCUGCAAAGAAAAAAAUAAUGCAAGGAAGCCCAAAAACAUUGUUUAGCAUUUAUGUUCUAAAAUUAAACAUUAAAGGACGAACACACCCUAGAUGCCCAAUAAAUGUAGACAUAAAAACCCAAAAUGUUUUUUUUCCCCUCAUUUGCCUCGGCAUAAAUAAAUAAAAACCAGCCAUAAAGGCUUGAUUUUCUUCAAACAAUUUAAUCGCGUCAAAUCCAUGAUGAAACUGCAUGCAGCUGUAAUCAGAGAGAGAAAACAAAAGGCGCUGCAACUCAAAGUCACAUGAGGAAGAAGGACUGGAAAGAACUUAUAGAAAGGACACUGAACAUUUAAUUAAAAUCACAUAAGACGAACCACCAUUUCGUGCCCCUAAGAUACUGGCUCGUGCUCCUAUUUUCGGUGGUCCAGGAUGAGGACAACCCUUCUGAUCAUGCUUCAGAAAAAAUACGACUAUAGUUCAAAUCAAAUUUUGGAUGCAUUUGGAUUCAAUGAUCUCUUGUCGGUGCCGCACGACCACAAACAGUUCCAAAAGCAGCACAUGCAAGCAAAUUAAUGAGCUGUGGAAGACUACACUUUCGGUAUCAAGAAGAGCUUAUGUUUGGUUGCGCAUAAGUGACUCGAGAACAACGUAAGAUUUCAAUGAAUGAUGAUACUAGAUUUGGUGUUUUCAAUACUGAAGUGAUUCACUUGUCGCGUACCAAAGGCCAAGAUAAAAAAUGGAGAAGCAAGAAAAGCAUGCAACGAGGAGAUGGCCUCAUGAUUAUCUCACUUCCAGCAAAGCAAGAUUUGAAAGGAUGAGCCUUACUGAAGUCCCUUUGUGUAACGGAGCAAAAAAUUUCAGUUUUACCGUUUGAAAAUCUAAAGUUGACAUCGGCAAACAACUUUCAAGAACACCACUUGAGCCUACUGUUCGAUGAAGUGCCUUUCAGGCUUUACUGAGGAAUGCUAUUACGAAAAGCAUUAUAUGAAAAUACCCACAAUAGCUUCUCUCUAGAGAAAGAAAAAGCAAAAGCUUCAAACUAGAACCUCUACUUUCGGGACACAAAUUGCAUUUCAGCUUGAGCUGCGGCAAAAGCUCGGGACUUUAUGUUUGCAGCUGAAAGCGGAACCAAAAGCAGACCAAAUAGGCUUAAAGAAGUACCUUGAGAAGUCACAUAUGCAACUUAAAGACCCACAUGGUCUUGCAUGGGUCAUCCAAGGAACCCUGAUAGGACUCAUAACAAGUAAAUAGUGGCCCUGCCUCAAGCAGUGGAAACUUAAAAGAAAAUAUGUUAGAACUGAAGUAAAAUUAAAAAAAAAAAAUACAAUACUAUCAGCAAAAUAUAAUUUAUUUGUAUAUGACAAACAGUCUCAUACAAGUUAUCACUUGCAGGAAACAGACACAGGAAAAGGCAUUAAUUUCAGGUCAUGUCAAAGAUAAAGUAAAAAGAAAAAAAAAACCCCACUAAUUGACAUAAAUGACCAUCAAAGGAGGAGGCCCAGGCCCCAGCUGUGUCUGCUGCACCCAUGUCAUAGGACUAGAGGAGAGUCCCAACCAUGGUAUUUACUUUUAAAUUUUAUUACCACACAGAAAAGUAAACAUAAGAUGAACAGAAAGAAAUGCCCAUGUACAGAAACCGAGCCAGAAUCAUAUGAUAGUGAAAGAUGUGAACACAACCUAUAACAUAAAUACAAUAAUAGAAUAGGUGCAUUUUUACAUCCUUGGAUACAUCAAGUAUUGCACAUAACUCCCAAAUGAUUUACAAGAAAUACAUACAAAAAAAAAAAAAUAUUAUUUUACCGCCCUGAAUGAUAAAUGACCGGUUUUGCGUAUAAUGUUAAAUCCGUCUGCACCGACAAUCUGAGUGCAAUUACUGUAUCAUUUAGGAAGGAUAUAUUGGGGAUUAUCAUUAUGUGCAAAAUUCUCACCAGCAUUUAUUUUUCUAAUGUGACAAAUUUACAGGUACAUACAAUGUAUGUUGUAAAGUAAGGAAAAGAUGGAGAUAAAAGUUGGCAUUAGCUGUGAGAAUGAUUUCUCAUCUGAAAAAGAUUAACUUUAAGAGACAGAGCAAGUGACAAAAACAGAAAGUAGAGAUAAAGAUGAGAGCUUUAUAGGGGUGGAAGUUUUCAAUUAAAGGGAAGAGAUUAGAACAAUUAGCUCAGGGGGUCCCCAAAACCCACUGAACAAUAAAAAGAAAAGUGAGCUUAUUUGUUCUACUACAAAAAUGAGGAGGAAACUAAAAUACUUCAUUUUGGACUCUCCUAGAAACCUAUAAGCAAUGCAUUAUGGCGUAAUUUCUUAGACUUUUCUACAGAAAAUUCUUGAUAUGACUGAGGUUCCAUCAAAACCCUAGAAACCAAAUUCUAAGAAAAAGAACACCUAAGAAAGGGGAAAAAUCCCACAAACGUUGAAAGAACCCAAAAGUUUCCAACUUUGAGAGAAAACCCAUCUCCACGCAUUCAAAAAAGAAAAAGACAAAGACAUAUAAAACCCUAGCUAUGCUACAUAAGCAUUGGGACAAGGAACCCUAACCCUAAACGAAGAACAAAAUCACAAAUAAACAAAUUAAAAAGGAGAUAAGAAAUCACCUGUCCCUAGCUUCCACGUCUAGAACGUUCUCGCCGAACGACGCCUCAACCUCCUCCUCUUCCUCCUCCUCCUCCUCCUCCUCCUCCUCCGCCGCCGCCGCCGCCGCCGAGGCGGCGAGCCUCGCGACCGAGCUCGACCCGGCCGAGCCUGAAUUGGCGCUCCUUACGCCGCGCCCGACCGGUUUGGGCGCCGCGGGUUUGGCCCCGCCCCGCUCCUUGGGCUCCUCCUUGGGCCGCGGCGGCGGGGGCUUCUCGAGGCGGCGGCUCCGGAGCUCGAGGUAGGCAAGGGAGGGAUCAGGGAAACGGGAAGGGGAGGAAGGGGAGGAAGAGGAGGAGGGUUUUUGAAGGCGCUGGAGAGCGAGGGUGCGGCUCCGCGUGCGGACGCCGAGCGGGGUUUGGUGGGCGGAGACCUCCAUGAGCGCGACCUCCCCGGAGAGCUUCGCCUUGCGCAUGUACUUCCCCAUGGCAACGGUGUCGUCGUCGUCGUUGUUGUCGCUGCUAGGGUUUACGCUAGGGUUUAGGGGAGCAUGCGAGGGAUAGGGAGAGGGAGAGGGAGAGGGAAGGGUUUGAGACGAGAGAGAAAGGAGGGAAAUGAGAGGAGGGGUGGCUUUUGUAUUUGUAGACGAGGGAGGGGGUUUUGUGCAAAAAAGGAGCCGGGUUCAAUCAUGUAUCGGAGUUAAUAAAAAACUCAGAUAAAAAAUAAGUUUCAUCAAAUUAAAUUUAUUCAAAAAUAAAAUAUUUGUUUCGAUUAAAUCAAUAACUCAACUAAAUUCGAAACUAAUUUAAAAAGAGAGAUUUUAGAAUUAGUGGGGAAAUAACAUAAAAAUGUUACUAAUAAUAACAAAUAAAUUUUUAUCGAAAUUUUAAAUAAAAUUUAAAAAUUAAAAAAUAAUAACUCCCGAAAAUUAAAGCUCUGACGUAACGUAUCGGCGAUAUGUUGAGAGAAUUUGGAGAGAGACGCGUUAUGUGAGUGGCCACGUGGAAAGCUGGGGUGGUGGCUUGUUGUGGGACCCACCUCGCGUCCAAGAUAAUCCUACCCGUACAACAUUGCGCGCCAAAAUGAGCUAUGCCAAUUUCACUAAAUAAAAAGAUUUUAAAAAUUUGCUUCCUAAGUUUUAUUAUUAGUAAAAAAAAAAAUGAGAUGAAUAGAAUAUCAUCAAGAACAAAAAAUAAGAAAAAAUUAUUUACUAUUAAUUUAUCUUAGCUAAAAUUUUCCUUUAUACAAAAAAUUAAGAAUUUUCAUCGUAUCUUAAUAAUUAAUGACUACAUAAAAUCUAUAUACAGCAGUAGAAAAUUCGUUGGAACUCUUCUCCAACACGCUGUAUUGCCGUGGAUCAAAAUUUUAUUUUUAUUUAUAUCUCUCAUCAUAGCUAAUUUUAAAUAGCGAUUUAUCUAUUUUUUAUUACGCUAUUAUUAUAUGUAUAACUUUAUAAUUGAACACACAUAAAAAAAAUCUCCACAUAUUUUAUUAAUAUAUAUAAUAGUAUAUAUUUUACAUUAUAUUUUAAUAUUCAUAAUUAUAUAUAGAAAAAAAUAUCUAAAAAAUUAAAAAAUAAAAAAAAAAUCGCCCCUUCUUUUAUCAAUUUAUAAAUAAUAAAUAAAUAAAUAUAUCACCAUAUGAUUAAGGCUCUGUGUUUUUAUUUAUUUCUCUAGUACAAGUAGUGAGUGUUAAAGUGCACAUUGAAUUGAAUGAAAAAAGAAAGUGCUAUACAAUACUUGUCACCUCCUAUCCAUAGCUUGAAUGUGCUAUGAAUAAAUCUUAUUAAUGAAUGGAAAUAAAUACUAGUGUACGACCUGUAACAUUAUAUUUCCACAUAAUGAGAUAGGUAUUUGUAAUGUAAUUAUAAUUUUAAUUAUAUAUAUAUAUAUAACAAAUUUAUUUGGCUAGGCACCUUAUUUUUUUUUAAAAAAAAUUUAGGGUUAUGAUUGUAUAUAAAUCUAUUCUUAAGGAGGUAGCGUGCUUCUCUCUAUACAUAAAUGUAUGUACACUACAAAAAAAACGAUCUAUAGCGACACUUUUAAAUAUAGGUACAUGUCAAAAUAGUGCUGCUAGCUAAAAUUACCGACACUUUUAAAAAGUGUUGCUAUAUGUGGGGUCGCUAGGUAUAUAGUAACAGUUAAAGAGUGUCGCUAUUACCUAAAAUAGUACUGCUAAUUUACCAACACUUAUUUAAAUAUUUAGCAACCGCCGAAACUCUAUCUCGUUGGCUGCGGUGGCGGAGGAGGACGACAAGAAAGGCUCUUCGUCUAGAAUUUCAGUAGAUUGAGUGAAGAGAGAAGAAAAGAUGGCAAUUGAUUUUUCUUUUUUUUUUUCUUUUCUGUUUGUAAUCGGGCCAAAUGGACUGGGUGUGGUGGGUUGAUUAGAGUAAUCUUUUAUUUUUGGUUGGAUUGGGCUAUAUAUUUAGACAUUAGCAGAUGUUUUUUUAAGUUUCAGCAUAAAUGGGACACUUACUAAAAAAUGUUAUAAAUAUGUGUCCCUAUAACCUAAUUCUGUUGUAGUGGUACUAUGUAAAACGUUUUUAGUAAUAUUUUGAAAUAUUACAUAAAAGAUCAAUAAAAUAGAAAUAAUUUAUUAAUAAUUAUAAUUUUUUUUUAUCGCAUAUACGAUAAAGAUCACAUGAAUUAUACCAUUUGUACUAAUACGAAAAUAAUUGAAAUGUUGUCCUUGGCUUUGAAUAUUGAAGUUAUUGAUGAUAUCCCAAUCCACAGAAGCCACCAUUUUUGACUUCCUUUUGAUAUAUAUNUAGUAUAAAGAAUUUUGUAUCAAAAUUUCAUCUGAUUUGAAUACUUCUACACCGUUAAACUUGAAAACGGCAGAUAUCAACCAUUAAAAAUUAUUGAUUUUGAAUCCUUUCGAUCACUUGGUAAAUGAUAUCAAAAAAUCGCUAAAAUUAUUUUUUAGAAACUUCAAAUAUCCUAGAUCAAGUCUAACGGAGCCGAUCGUCGAUUUGAAAAUUCCAUCAUCGAAAACAGCUCAGGAGCACGGAGACCUUCGUGCUCCUGAGAGCACAACAGCCCUACUAUAUAUAUAUAUAUAUAUAAAACCAACAUAUAUAAUAACCUAAAUUAAUAAAUGGCUAAGCCAAGUACACCCCAUGAAAUGUUUCAAUUACAUUUUCCACAUCAAAAUCUAUAGUGAAACACAUGAGUAAACUCCUUAUUAACCUAACUCUUUGAGCCUACACUUCUCCCCAUGCAUGAACACUUGAACCACAAUAAUGUUUUUAACCUUUUGUUUUUUUUUUUUUUUUUUUUUAAAACAAUCUUUUUCACUAUUAGCUUCCAUGUUCCAAACCCUGCUAUAAUGUCAUCAUCAUCAUCAUCAUCUUUAGACUUUCGUUAAGGUAUCCAAUGCCACAAACCACUGUUGAAAGUACUAAAUUUAGAACUGUAUAUGGGGUUCAUUUCUUGUGUGGUAUUUGACCUAUAAUGAAACUUUCUUUUUUUGUUUUUUUUGAGAGAGAUCGGUAGCACGCUACCCGCUUCGUUUAUUUUAUUUAGAAAUAAAUUUAGAUGAAAAUGUGAAUCAAUUAGGAUUCGAAUUUGGGACCUCAGGUACCAACCACCAAGCCCUUUGCUACUUGCUCUAGGGACGGUCGGUACUUGUAAUAAAAUUUCAAAGAGAAAUAUAUAUAUAUAUAUAUAUAUAUAUAAAGAGAGUCCGACCACUAUACUCUUAUUAUGAGUAUAGAGCCUUUUCAUACUCAUAAGGCAUUUUCGAUGAUAGAACUUUCGAAUCGACGAUUCAUUCCAUUAAAUAUAAUCUAAAAUAUUUGAAACUUCAAAAAAAAAAUUAUAAUAAAAUCCAUCAAGCGGGCAUAAAAUAAAUGAUCAAAAUCGAAAGACGUUCUAAAAAUGGAUGAUUGGAUCCUUCAAUUUAAGAUUGAAAUUAUUAAUCUUUAUUUAGAUAGUGAAUAUAAUUUUCUAUCAAAAACUUAACCGAUUCCGAUUUUUUUAUACCGUUAAACUAGCAAGUAUUCAAUACCGGUUAUUAAAAAUUAUCAAUUUUGAUAUCUUCUGAUCGUAAGCUAAAUGAUGUUAAAAUAUUAUGAAAUUUGAUUUCUAAAAAUUUUAAAUGCUCUAAAUAACGUUCAACGAUAUGGAUCAUUGAUUCGAAAGCUCUAUGAUCGAAAAUAACUUAUGAGUUGAAUAUCUAAUCUUUUCAACUUCGCAUGUCUUUUCUUCCGCCUUUAAUCUCCAUAUUAUUUUUUUUCAUCUAUGCGGUCACAAAAUGAAUAAAUUAUAUAGACAAAUAUUGGAUUAAACUAUUCAAUCAUNUUAAAUUUAAAUUCACAAUCUUUAUUGCAUUUCAAAUUUUGAACUCAAUUAGAAUUUAAAUUUCAAUUUGAAAAUUUGAAUUCAAAAUCUAAAUGUGAAUCUAAAUUGAUAUUUUAAAUCAAAAUCUGAUUUUGAAUUUAAAAUUUGAACUUCGUAUUCAAAUUCGCAUUUUCAAGUUGAAAGUCAAUCAAAGUUUGAAUUAAAUUUAGAAUUGGAAUUCAAAAUGUGAUUUUGAAUUUAAAAUUAAAUACAUAAUUUGAAUUUGAAUUCAAAAUUGAAUUAGGAUUUAAAUUUGAAUGCAAAAUCAAAAUUUAAAUUUGAAAUUUGAACCCAAAAUGAAAUUUAAAUUUAAAAUUUAAAUUCAAAAAUAGAAUUUGAAUUCAAAAUUUAUAAUUAAAAUUUGAGCUUUAAAUUUAAAAUUUAAUUCAAAAUGUAAUUUGAAUUUAAACUUUGAAUUUAACAUGUAAGCUUGAAUUAAUUUAAAUGGUAUAAUUAGCUGGCGUUGACACAACGCUUCCGUGGUGGUGACUAGGGGUGGAAACGAGCCGAGCCUGAGCGAGCUUACCUCAGCUCAAAUUCGGCUUGAAAUUAAUUUCGAGCCUAAAUUAGGCUCAAGCUCGGCUUGAAAUUAAUUUGAGCUGAGCUCGAGCGAGCCUAAUUUCGAGUCGAGCCCUAAACGAGCCGCUUGAAAUUCUCAACAUCGUACGAUCAAUAGUUUAAUCUGUAUAGAACAUUAUUUAUAAUUUGAUACAAAAAUAUAUCUAAUAGUUCAAAAUACAAAAUAAUUAUAUGAAAUACGGUAUUAUAAUAUGAAGAAAAAUAACUUAUGAGUUGAAUAUCUAAUCUUUUCAACUUCGCAUGUCUUCUUUUCCGCCUUUAAUCUCCAUAUUAUUUUUUUUCAUCUAUGCGGUCACAAAAUGAAUAAAUUAUAUAGACAAAUAUUGGAUUAAACUAUUCAAUCAUAUAUAACUAAUAUCAAAAUUUUGUAUAAACAAUAAUUGUUUAUCAUAGAAAUAUUUUGUAUAUUUUCUCAAGUACACAAUUAAUGGCAAGAUAGGCAAUGGUGGGUGUGUGCUGUUACUUAGUGACUUAGGGGGCUUCAGGUUUGGCCGCAUAGGGUGAAAGACAAAGAAAAAGAGAGAGAGAGAGAGAGAGAGCGAGAGAUUAGGAAUUUAGGGCUUUGUGAAAGAAAGAGAGGGAGAGUGUAAAUUUAGUAUAAUUUUGCCCUUUUGUUGGCAUAUUGGGUUUGUUUUUAUGGGCCAGCAACAUUGGCUAAAUUUUAACUAAACUUGAUUACACAUUCAAUCUACAUAUACUUAAAUAUUAUAUAUAUAUAUAUAUAUAUAUAUAUAUAUAUAUAUAUAUAUAUAUAUAUAUAUAUAUAUAUAGUAGGUCUUGUGUGUUAUUAGGAGUACGGAGGUCUUCGUGCUCCUGAGCCGUUUUCGAUAAUGGAGCUUUCAAAUCGAUAAUCAGCUCCGAUAAACUUAAUCUAGUAUAUAUGAAAUAUUUAGAAAAUAAAUUUUAUGAUUUUUCGAUAUUAUUUAUCUAGUGAUUGAAAGGGUUCAAAAUUAACGAUUGAAAAUAAAAAUUUCACAAAAAAUUAUAAUAUAGUUCUGAAAAUUCGAUCUGAAUCUGUAAAAUUAAAAAAAGCGAUCCGAUUUUACCAAAUCUCAAAAUCUGUAAAAUUUUUAUGUAAAUUGGCCAAUUAAUUAUUUCAAUAUCUUUUUAGCAGUGUGGACUUUGUACUCCCACAUGCACAGUGCACUUAAAUCUUGUUCUUAUUUAAACUCUCCAGAGUGGAAAGAGGAAAUGAUGUUACAUCAAAUCAACUGUGAUUACAUAUUGCUCAGAGCAGCUUUUUUUUUUUUCUUUUCUUUUUUUAAAUAUAUAGCCAUAGUUAGCAAUGGGGUCUUACUAUGUAUAAUGGCUUCAAAGGCCCCCUUUGUCUUUUCCUUUUUUUUCAUUUUUUUUUUUUUAAAUUUUCGAAUCUUUUGGUGGCUCCACUUUUAAGUACCACAAGUAGAGCAAUUCUAAAAGCAAUGAAAACUAUGAAGAACAUAUUUUAGGGUAAACUUUAAAUGUCACCUUCGUGGUUUCGUAUUUUCUCACCCUAGUACCAUGUGGUUUAAAAUAUAUUAAAUUAGUGUCAUGUGGUUUCAUUUUUAUCUUUUCGUUAGCUUGUUCAUUAAUAUUUCGUUAAAUUGUUUACAAAAAAUUUUAGAUACCCCACCUAGGUUUAUCGAAUAUUCAUUUUAGAUACCUCACCUCUAUAUAUAUAUAUAUAGAGAGAGAGAGAGAGAGAGAGAGAGAGUUGAGCUAUGAUACUUUUACAAGUAUCACCAUCAUGAUGCUAUUAGGUUUUAAGCCAUUGGAUCUACUUUUUGAUUAUUAAUAGCCCUUGGAUUAAAUACUAUUCCACCUANNNNNNNNNNNNNNNNNNNNNNNNNNNNNNNNNNNNNNNNNNNNNNNNNNNNNNNNNNNNNNNNNNNNNNNNNNNNNNNNNNNNNNNNNNNNNNNNNNNNNNNNNNNNNNNNNNNNNNNNNNNNNNNNNNNNNNNNNNNNNNNNNNNNNNNNNNNNNNNNNNNNNNNNNNNNNNNNNNNNNNNNNNNNNNNNNNNNNNNNNNNNNNNNNNNNNNNNNNNNNNNNNNNNNNNNNNNNNNNNNNNNNNNNNNNNNNNNNNNNNNNNNNNNNNNNNNNNNNNNNNNNNNNNNNNNNNNNNNNNNNNNNNNNNNNNNNNNNNNNNNNNNNNNNNNNNNNNNNNNNNNNNNNNNNNNNNNNNNNNNNNNNNNNNNNNNNNNNNNNNNNNNNNNNNNNNNNNNNNNNNNNNNNNNNNNNNNNNNNNNNNNNNNNNNNNNNNNNNNNNNNNNNNNNNNNNNNNNNNNNNNNNNNNNNNNNNNNNNNNNNNNNNNNNNNNNNNNNNNNNNNNNNNNNNNNNNNNNNNNNNNNNNNNNNNNNNNNNNNNNNNNNNNNNNNNNNNNNNNNNNNNNNNNNNNNNNNNNNNNNNNNNNNNNNNNNNNNNNNNNNNNNNNNNNNNNNNNNNNNNNNNNNNNNNNNNNNNNNNNNNNNNNNNNNNNNNNNNNNNNNNNNNNNNNNNNNNNNNNNNNNNNNNNNNNNNNNNNNNNNNNNNNNNNNNNNNNNNNNNNNNNNNNNNNNNNNNNNNNNNNNNNNNNNNNNNNNNNNNNNNNNNNNNNNNNNNNNNNNNNNNNNNNNNNNNNNNNNNNNNNNNNNNNNNNNNNNNNNNNNNNNNNNNNNNNNNNNNNNNNNNNNNNNNNNNNNNNNNNNNNNNNNNNNNNNNNNNNNNNNNNNNNNNNNNNNNNNNNNNNNNNNNNNNNNNNNNNNNNNNNNNNNNNNNNNNNNNNNNNNNNNNNNNNNNNNNNNNNNNNNNNNNNNNNNNNNNNNNNNNNNNNNNNNNNNNNNNNNNNNNNNNNNNNNNNNNNNNNNNNNNNNNNNNNNNNNNNNNNNNNNNNNNNNNNNNNNNNNNNNNNNNNNNNNNNNNNNNNNNNNNNNNNNNNNNNNNNNNNNNNNNNNNNNNNNNNNNNNNNNNNNNNNNNNNNNNNNNNNNNNNNNNNNNNNNNNNNNNNNNNNNNNNNNNNNNNNNNNNNNNNNNNNNNNNNNNNNNNNNNNNNNNNNNNNNNNNNNNNNNNNNNNNNNNNNNNNNNNNNNNNNNNNNNNNNNNNNNNNNNNNNNNNNNNNNNNNNNNNNNNNNNNNNNNNNNNNNNNNNNNNNNNNNNNNNNNNNNNNNNNNNNNNNNNNNNNNNNNNNNNNNNNNNNNNNNNNNNNNNNNNNNNNNNNNNNNNNNNNNNNNNNNNNNNNNNNNNNNNNNNNNNNNNNNNNNNNNNNNNNNNNNNNNNNNNNNNNNNNNNNNNNNNNNNNNNNNNNNNNNNNNNNNNNNNNNNNNNNNNNNNNNNNNNNNNNNNNNNNNNNNNNNNNNNNNNNNNNNNNNNNNNNNNNNNNNNNNNNNNNNNNNNNNNNNNNNNNNNNNNNNNNNNNNNNNNNNNNNNNNNNNNNNNNNNNNNNNNNNNNNNNNNNNNNNNNNNNNNNNNNNNNNNNNNNNNNNNNNNNNNAUAUAUAUAUUAAUAACUAAAACUCUGUCAAGCUAGUGAUCUGUUUACUAUAGUUUUUUAGUAUUUUAAAUAAAAGAUCUACAAAUUCUAUAAGAUCUAGUUCAGGUUACCUCGACUAGUAGUUAAGCUUUCAGGGUUGUAGCUUUUGCUAAACUUUCGUAUCUCGCCAAGCAUGAUGAUUUUUGUAUAGUCGGGUUGAGAGAUAAAUUAAACGUUGUAGUGACAUUUGAGUAAAAAUGUUUCAAAGUAUUGACCGAACUGUAUAUAGUAAUAACAUUUCCAUAUCCACAGGACUUACUAGUGUUUCAUUUAUUUUAUUUUAUUUCAUUUUGUGUGUGUUUCCUAUUAUGCGAAAACAUGCACAUGAGUUUCAAAUGAGUCAAAACCACAAACUUGCGCAACAAGAAAUUUAUGCGCACCCAGAAAUAGCUAGCUUGCUAUCUAGCCAUCUAGCUAUGGAAAGCAAACAACCCAUGUUUUUUUUUUAAAAAAAAAAAAGAAAAAAAAAAGAAAAAAAUUAUUAAAAAAAGAAAAAUAACUUUCACAAUUCCCAAUCUCACUCGUGGGCAUCGUGUUCAAACAAAAGGAGAGCUGCGUAGGGAAGCAACAAAGGAAUCUCCUCUCCGAGCAAAAGCACUUUUCCAAUCCGGGGCUCUUCACGGAUGAAUCUUAUGAGGUCAUCAAAAUCUCACAUGCAUGAAAAACCAACAACAACAUUAUUGCAUGCACCUUAUCCACAUAUAUCUAUAUCUAUAUUUAUACUAUAUAUAAAAGCGUAUAAAAAUUCCGACAAUUACAGACAAAAUCCAAAAAAAAAUAAAAUAAUAUUUCUUAUGAAUAAUUAUGAUUAAUUUGUUAAAAUAUCUCAAAUAAAAAUUAACGGUUAUGAUCAAUCUAUUGAAUGUAAAAUAAUAUUUUCUACGAAUGAUUAUGAUUUAUUUGUUAAAAAUAUGUUAAAUAAAAACGAACGGUUAUAAUCAAUCUAUUAAAUUUAUACUAUAUAUAAAACUCUAUUCCCUAUAAAUGGUUAUGAUCAAUAUGUUUAAAAAAAUAUCUCAAAUAAGAACAAUUAUAAUCAAUCUAUAAUUCAAUCCUAUGAACGAUUAUAAUCAAUUUGUUAAAAAAUAUCUCAAAUUAAAACAAACGGUUAUGAUCAAUUUGUUAAAAAAUAGCAUUUCUAUUAAUCUAUUUUACAUUAAAAUUAAAAUUUGAGUUUAAAUUAUAAAUUAAAUUUAAUUUUUAGAUAUCAAAUUUGAAUUAAUAAUUAAUUUUUUUAUUACAGUGGAUCAAAAUUAAAUUUUAAAUUUUAAAUUAAAUGUGAAUUAAAUUUUGAUGCUUUUAGUUUAAAACACAUAUUUAAAUUUGAUUCAUCAAAAAUCAAAAAGUAUAUAAAAAUGUUCGAUGUAUAUAAAUAAAAGAACACGGUAGGAUAUUAUAAAUAUUUUCUAAUAAAAUAUAACACAUUAAUUUAUAAAUAUAAUUUUUAUUGUAAAAUUUUGGAUAUAUAUAAAUUACAAAUUUAUAUUGAUUUGAAAUAAAUUAUAAUAAUUGUUACGUGCAUUUGCACGUACAUUCAACUAGUAUAUAUAUAUAUAUAUAUAACACAUUUUUAAAUGGUUCAGGGUAAACUUCAAAUAUUAUUUCUGUGGUUUCGCAUUUUCUCUUUUUAUUAUCGAUUCCACUAAUUUUUUUCGUUAAAUUAGUAAUAAAGUUAAAACUAAAGGGUACUAAAGUGAAUAUUCGAUAAACCUAGAUAAGAUAUAUGAAGUUUUUUUGUAUAUAAUUUAACGAAAUAUUAGCGAAAAAGCUGACGAAAAGAUAAAAAUUAAACCACAGGGAAACUAACUUGAUACAGUUUUAAAUCACAUGGUACUAAAGUGAGAAAGUGCGAAACCACAAGAGUAAGAAAUUUACUCUUUUAAAUUUAUAUUGUUGAUGCUUUAAAAUUAAAUUUUAAUUUUCUCGGCUGACUGUGCGUAGCGUAAUUGGCUAAAUUUCAAGGUCGAAAUUUAAUUGUUUCAUAUUUCUAGAUGAACGAAACGAUAACUUGUAUAAAAUAUUUUACGACACUUUAAGCAUUUUUUUUAAAAAAAUCUAGAACGCUCUUUGGGAGGUCAGGGGUUUAAAUCUGUGCUUGUUCAUUUAAUUUAAAAUUGAGUUGGUUGAAUUUCGGAAUAUAGAAUUUUUAUGUGUCUUAAAGUUAGGAAUUUGAAAGUAACUUAAUUAAAAGGACAAAAAGAAGAGACUUUCUAUAUAUAUACAGUUAAAUAUUUUUAAUAUUGUAGAAAUAUUAAUUACUUAUCAAAUAGGGUUAAUUACCUAUAGGUUCUCCCCAACAUAAUAAAUUACAAAUAUAUUUAUAUAAAGUUCAACUUUUAUAAAUUAUUCAUGUAAAAAAUCCUAAUGUUUUCAUAUAUGUCCCUCUGAUUUGUUACCGUUAGAGAUCCGUUAAAACACCGUUUAUAUUUUCAAUUUUGUCAUCAUAAAUUUUUUUCUUUAAAAGUUAUAGCAGUAUAAUAUAAGAGGAAUAAAAAUGUCACAAAUUAACCAGAGUAAAGUAUUCAACCUAUAGUUAACUAAACUUUUUAAACGGAUUCUAACGGCAUGAACAUAUAUGAAAAUAUUAUGACUUUUAUAGGAAUAACUUAUGAAAGUUGAACUUUACAGAAAUAUAUCUGCAAUUCACUAUGUUUGCGAGAAUUUGUAUACAAUUAACCCUAUCAAAUAUUAUGUACAGUGCACGAAAUAUAUGAACGCACUUGGUGCAGGCAAUAAUUUCUCAUGGAGAGAGAGAGAGAGAGAGAGAGAGAGGAGAUCUAACUUCAAAGGCAAAAUUAAGUAAAGUCACUUUUUUUUUUCUUUUUUUCUUUUUUCUUUUUUUUUUUUUCUAGCAAUGAGUCAGAGAUGGAACAGUAGAAGGCAUAUCCAUGUGCUGUUGUCCUCUAGGAGGCAGAAGAAUAUUUUAUUGGGAGUCUCAACUCUCAAUUUGAAGAAGCCACAUUAUUGCAUGCAUUUUGACUUUGAAAAAAAAAUUACCGACCAUUCCUAGCGCAAGUAGCAAAAGAACUUUGUGGUUGGUAUUGAGGUCCCAAGUUCGAAGCCUAAUUGUUUCACAUUUUUAGUUGAGCUUAUUUCAAAAAAAUAAACAAAACGGGUAGCAUGCUAUUUUUCUCUCCAAAAAAAAAAAUUUGAAAAAAAAAUUUAAAAAAAUUUAGUAUUGCAUCAACACAUCACUACUUUCUCUAAAAGCUUAAAUUAUCAGACAUUUCAUAGUCUGAGCUUAAAUUAAGUUUGGGGUCCGACUAAAACUCGAAUUUAGAAUCUCCUGCUUAAUAUUACAAUAUUUUAUAGAAAAAAUUUUAAAUAUUAUUCCUGUGUUUCACACUUUCUCACUCUAGUAUUCUGUGGUUUAAAUUAUAUCAAUUUAGUAUCCCGCGAUUUCAUUUUUAUUUUUUAUUAUCGAUUUCACUAAUUUUUUUCGUUAAAUCAAUGACAAAGUUAAAACUAAAUGGUACUAAAGUGAAUAUUUGAUAAACUUAGAUAGAAUGUCUGAAGUUUUUUGUAUAUAAUUUAACGAGAUAUUAACGAAAAAGCUGACGAAAAGAUAAAAAUGAAGCCACAAGAUACUAAUUUGAUACAUCUUAAACCACAUGAUACUAAAGUGAGAAACUGCGAAACCACAGGAGUGGUAUUUGAAGUUUAUCCUAUUUUAUAUGUAUUCAACAUAGCUAUUGAGUUUACUC
Molecule: long non-coding RNA, 53348 nt
Filed under: Ananas comosus (pineapple)
Lineage: Eukaryota; Viridiplantae; Streptophyta; Magnoliopsida; Poales; Bromeliaceae
Description: long non-coding RNA (ACOM_LNC012963)
Source: RNAcentral